This 56748-nucleotide long non-coding RNA is filed under the name Triticum aestivum (bread wheat). RNAcentral's name for it is "long non-coding RNA (TAES_LNC007118)". The stretch from base 47747 to 47871 matches the Rfam family "MIR1120/MIR1122 microRNA precursor family". The record is from RNAcentral. Lineage: Eukaryota; Viridiplantae; Streptophyta; Magnoliopsida; Poales; Poaceae.
CAGCUCGGAUCGGUGGCAUCGACUCGGCAGUAAGACUGGUACGCGUGCGGAUGCUGCCGUCGAUUUUAAUUCCCCGCCCACCCUUGCUUCUAAGUUUCCGGAUAUAUAAGCGGGCGUCUAUCUCUGCUGUUCCGGCUCCGCAUUUGCAGCCCGCGGAUUCGUCGGCGGGAGCCCGCGGAUUUCCAGCUUGUCGUUGUGCAGGCAGGUGGGGAAUUUUUUCUAACCUACUUUGGACUUUGAAGGGAAAACAGAAGAGGGGGUAAGAUUGUUUCUGUUUCUGAGCCCUUUUUGUGUGCAAAGAAUGGGCGGUUCUUGAAGAAAGAGGUCAUGGAAUAAAUUAUUGUAUCGAGAAAUUUAGCAAGGCGCAUUUCAUGCUUUAUCGUAGAGCCAGCGCAGAUGAUAUGGCCUACUAGCUUUCAUCGUCACAACUUGCGUAGUUAGAGAAUGUCAGCUCAACUACUCCACCCAAAAGGAAAAAAGAUGGUUUAGUUUACCGCUUUACUUUAUCACAUUUGUCUCAAGUAACAAGCAUGGAGUGAUAUGUCUCAAAAUAGAUGGGCCGGCUGCGAAUCAACCUGUGGUUGAGUUGGUUAGGUGGACAGUGGUAUCCCCAGCCCACCAGGGUUCAAAUCCUGGUGCUCGCAUUAUUCCUGGAUUUAUUUCAGGAUUUUCGGCGAUGCGCUUUCAGUGGGAGGAGACGUUCCCGUCGAUGACGAGGCGCCUAUGGUGGCUUCGUAAAUCUCAAGAUGAUAUGCCGGCUCAGUCUCUCGGAGGUGCUCAUAGGGGUAGGGUGUGCGUGUGUGCGUUCAUAGGGAUGAGUGUAUGCGCGUGUAUAUGAGCGCUUGUGUCUGUACUGAUGCUCAAAAAAAAAAAGAUGGGCCGGCUAGUAGAGGUGUAGAAUGUUGUUUCGAGCUAUGUAUCUAGUGUCUGUCAACUAACCAUAUGAAUGCUGAGCGCAGCAAGAUGCCAAAUAUAUGUCUCGGAUGCAACUCAAACCUAAUCCCACAUACCUGCUACAUAUAUUUUUUAUACCAUCCAAGUGUUGUUUCUGUCAUAAUUACUCUUAAUUUAUUUAUCCUUUUAUUCUUAUCUAUGCAUUUUCUAAAAACAAAGGUACCUGCUCAGCAGAAAGUGGUCGCAAGUAGGCAAACUGUAAAACAUGGGGAUGUGGCAUCUAUCCUAAGAUGGUGAUCUCACUGAAAGUGGCACUCUUUCUUUUCAUAAGCUGAGAAUCUUCCGUCACAUGCUAAUGGCCCUGUCUGCCUUUCUCCUCCUACUAGUCUCAAGGAACCACCUUUCCCCUUACUUCUUCCCUCCUGAUCCUCACCCAGACACCGCUACUGCAAACACCAUUCCCAUUCAUAUUCACCUAUAUCUUCAUACACAGGCCGUCAUCAUCUAAGAGUGAGGAUCAGGAGAAGGGCGUGACAAGAAGAUGCUGAAGAAACUGAUAUCGAAGACCAAGAGCAAGAAGAAGAAGGAGGCUGCCUCUUCUUCCCUCCCCACCUUGGAUCGACUACAUGAGGUCUCCACCCCUUUUUCCAUUUAAAUGUUUGCCUGUUUUUCUUAUAUCGAUCAACCUUUACCUUCUGCUCUUCUGUUUCCUUCGAGUUGUCAAGAUAGGGUUGGAUUUUGGGCUUGGGAGUUAGGGGACAUUUCUAAAUAGUUCUCUUCAAGAAAUGUGGUCUUUAAUUCGCAACAGAGCAAUUGGUCACUUGUGUAAAGAAAGAAAAACCUCGAUACCGUGUAUCACCCAAGUGAAUAGUAAAAGCUUGAGUACUGAAUGCAGAUGUGGGUAUUUCUGUGUCCAAUGGAUUUCCAGAACACAAGAAUGGAAGAAAACAAUACUUAAAAGGUCUUCUUUUUGUACAUGACAAACCGGCCAGUUGGUUGCGGAUUUUGACCAUUAGGCCUUGUACAAUGCUAGGUGCUUAGAAAAAUAAAGCGGUUUUUCUGAAGCACCAGUGCCUAUUUCUACAGGAGAGACGCCGAACUAAGCAUCUACCCUGUACAAAUAAGCACCGGUGCUUAAGUAAAGCCUGGUUUAUUUCUUUAAGCAGCUCCCCUAAGCACCUUGCAUUGUACAAGGCCUUAGUUGUCAUGUGUCUAGUUGGUUGAAUUGAAGGUAUGGUCAACUGUAUCGGCCUAGUCAAAUUUUGCUCAACUGCUUUGAGGACAUAUGAUGCUGACACUGUUGUACCCUGUUUCUUGUUUUCCUAUUUAAGGCUGCCCCCCCCCCNNNNNNNNNNNNNNNNNNNNNNNNNNNNNNNNNNNNNNNNNNNNNNNNNNNNNNNNNNNNNNNNNNNNNNNNNNNNNNNNNNNNNNNNNNNNNNNNNNNNNNNNNNNNNNNNNNNNNNNNNNNNNNNNNNNNNNNNNNNNNNNNNNNNNNNNNNNNNNNNNNNNNNNNNNNNNNNNNNNNNNNNNNNNNNNNNNNNNNNNNNNNNNNNNNNNNNNNNNNNNNNNNNNNNNNNNNNNNNNNNNNNNNNNNNNNNNNNNNNNNNNNNNNNNNNNNNNNCAUCGUAGGAAAAUAACCUAAUGCGAAGGCCAAGGAAAGGGAAACUUCAGAUUAGGUUGAUGUAUUGUAGUGUUCAUUCCCCCCUGCGGCCUUAGUUAAUUAUACUCAUUAAUCCAUCACGUCCUCACUUUCCUAAUGUUGUGCACAUUAUUGCAAUAGUAACACUUUUCACAGCAAUGUCUGAGAUAUUAUAGUUUAUCGGAGAGAAUUCGAUAGCCUCUUAUAUGUUCAGGGGCUCAUACCAGCGAGACAAAAAGAUAAAUUUGAGUUCUCAAGUUAUGAAUACAGCUAAAUGCUAAUUUGACUAUCGUAUAUUUUCAUUCUCAGUGGCUUAUAUGUUAAUACUUUGCGGUAAUGUGUAGACCCUAGAAAUGCUGGAGAAGAAAGAGCGUUUGCUUCAGAAAAAGUCUUCCGCGGAAAUAGAAAAGGCUAAGGACUAUACAAAGGCAAAGAAUAAGAAUGGUAAGCCUAGUGGAAAAUCCUUUAUUUGUUUGUCAGGUCUUACACAGAAUCUAUCAACACAAGGCAAAAACUUAAACGCUGCUAGUCUGUGCUUGCAUGUCUAAAAAGGAUUUCUAGCUAAUGGCUAUUUGGUCCUGGAAUAACAAGUAAUGUUUCUUAGUUUUUUAUGCUUUUGUAACUUGCAUGAGAAACGGCUUCUUCUUUGUUGCAGCUGCAAUUCAGUGUUUAAAGAAAAAGAAGUUGUAUGAGACACAGAUUGAGCAGCUAUCAAAUUUUCAGUUGCGAGUUCAUGAUCAGGUAAUGUAAGAUAUAGAAGUAUUUCAAUAUAUGCCCACGCAUUAAACUGAUAGGAGAUUAUUUUGUGCAGAUUAUAAUGCUUGAAAAUGCGAAGGCAACAACUGACACUGUUGAUGCUUUGCGCUCUGGGUCAUCUGCUGUCAAAGCUAUUCAACAGUCCCUGUAAGAGUCAAUCAUCCCUCUGCAUUUCAGUGGCAUACCAAGGUGUAGGAUUUCCAUGUGCCAAAGGGCUCCACUUUACCAUUUCUAUUCUAAAAUGAAAAUUCGUCCCCGGUAGUUAUUUGUGUCCACGCUAGUUCAGGUUUGCUUAAUUUCCCCUUCUUGUUUUCUUGAGCUUUUGCACCUUCCAAGCUUAACUAGACCCCGUUCAUUGAAGGUUUCCAUUUAUAGUCAUGACAUGCGCACCCAGCAGCAAUGGCCAUACAGUCCAUACAUGUAUAAGCUACCUGGCAUAGAUGCAGGAAUGCAGCCCAUUGGUUGCCGAUAAUAUAUCCAUACCUGAAUAGGCUGACAUAUGUGAAUCCUUCCGCAGGAGUAUUGAUGACAUUGAGAAUGCAAUCGAAGAGGCGAACGAGCAUACGGAAAAUAUGAAACAGAUACAGGAUGCACUUGCUACACCAUUCGGUGCUUCGGCUGAAUUCGACGAGGUAUGGGUUGGUUUAUUUUUCCCUUUGCACUAGUUUACCAACGUUUACUGUCCGGUCCAUACCGUCCAUACCGUCAAUUUUCAAAGAUGCAUGACACCUUGCUCCUUUUCCGAAUCAGGACGAGUUGGAGGCAGAACUGGAAGACCUCGAGGAGGAAGAACUGGACCUGGAGCUGCCUGAACCGCCGCGGGGGACACACGUGGCACCAUCAACGUCGGCUGCGACUUCUCGACCGGCGGCUAGCGAUUUCGCUGAACUGACCAAACUUCAAGCAGAGAUGGCGCUUUAGGGAUCUGCUAUAAAAAUACUGCGCGGCUAGCGAUUUCGCUGAGCUGACCAAACUUCGAGCAAAGUUGGCGCUUUAGGGAUCUGCUGUAAAAAUACUGCGGUUUGGAGGGAAUGCUGUCAUUGAAACCUCAGAGGCUCACUGCCAUCAUUGCGGCGUGCAUGUAAAAUUCAGGCUAUGUUGUAAGAGCAUCCACCCCUGUUAAUUUCCUGCAUGAUGUUUGGCCUCUAUCUGCGUGCAAUGUCCCCUACACGACCGUGGACACGCCCAGGCACGUGUUGGACGCAGCCGGGCCACCCUCGUACAUCUCUUGCCCGGCAGUGGACUCUUCCUAUCUGGCAGGCACAUACCUCAAAUUUGGAUCGCAGGUCCAUCAUACAUGUCAUUGUCGCACCUGAAUAAUAAAUGUUGGUGCCAAAAAUACAUUUGGUCUAAUAGCCAACAACUUUUUGUAUCCCGCACAUUUGGUUCUUUCAGAUACGCUGCUCCAAACACUUGCACCACACGUGCAGGCAAACCUCACAGUAGUUUUCAGGUAUGUGCUCUCCUUCAUUCAGACCAUCUCACCGACGACAUCGGCAACAGUACCAAGUGCAAGCAUCCGCAGUGCAGCCGUGCAUUUCUGCUUAGAGAAAAAAAAGAUGGCCGCAACAAUCCCUAGUGAGCUUGAAGUAGUCAUCGUGUGCCUCCACUCCCUACACAACGCGCAAAAAACAAUGGUUCGCGCAUACGAAAACAUCGACGAAACCAUGGAUUAUCCGAAAAAGUUGGGUUCGGAUCAAAAUAAUCCUUGUAGAGUAGCCAUGCUCCGAAAACCCUAUCUCUAUUAAUAACUCUCCCUUUGAUUGAGCCCUUGAAGUUGAGAAUAUGCUCCACGUGCCGGUCCAUUUCUUCUUGCAUGACCAUAUCCACCUUUUCACUCGAAUUCGACGAAUCGAAGAACUCAUUUUCAAUCAUUUUAUCAAGCACUGUUGGUCCAUACUCCUCGUCCGAUGAAGCAUCGGAAUCCAAUGUGUCGGUGCCUACGAAUAAAUAACAAAAAACCUGGCGGACAAUGUGUUGAACACAUAGAGCGCAAGGUGCAGGCCGAAAGUUGCUGGACAUACCAUGGUGGCUUUCGGGCCGGCGACGAUGUCCGCGGCGGCGCGCGCGGUGAAGGAAAUAUGCCCUAGAGGCAAUAAUAAAGUUAUUAUUUAUUUUCUUAUUUCAUGAUAAAUGUUUAUUAUUCAUGCUAGAAUUGUAUUAACCGGAAACUUAGUACAUGUGUGAAUACAUAGACAAACAUAAUGUCACUAGUAUGCCUCUACUUGACUAGCUCGUUGAAUCAAAGAUUGUUGUGUUUCCUAACCAUAGACAUGAGUUGUCAUUUGAUUAACGAGAUCACAUCAUUAGAGAAUGAUGUGAUUGACUUGACCCAUUUCGUUAGCUUAGCACUUGAUCGUUUAGUAUGUUGCUAUUGCUUUCUUCAUGACUUAUACAUGUUCCUAUGACUAUGAGAUUAUGCAACUCCCGUUUACCAGAGGAACACUUUGUGUGCUACCAAACGUCACAACGUAACUGGGUGAUUAUAAAGGUGCUCUACAGGUGUCUCCGAAGGUACUUGUUGAGUUCGCGUAUUUUGAGAUUAGGAUUUGUCACUCCGAUUGUCGGAGAGGUAUCUCUGGGCCCUCUCGGUAAUGCACAUCACUAUAAGCCUUGCAAGCAAUGUGACUAAUGAGUUAGUUGCGGGAUGAUGCAUAACAUAACGAGUAAAGAGACUUGCCAAUAAUGAGAUUGAACUAGGUAUUGAGAUACCGACGAUCGAAUCUUAGGCAAGUAACAUACCGAUGACAAAGGGAACAUCGUAUGUUGUUAUGCGGUUUGACCGAUAAAGAUCUUCGUAGAAUAUGUGAGAACCAAUAUGAGCAUCCAGGUUCCACUAUUGGUUAUUGACUGGAGACGUGUCUCGGUCAUGUCUACAUAGUUCUCGAACCCGUAGGGUCCGCACACUUAAAAUCCGGUGACAAUUUAUACUAUGAGUUAUGUGUUUUGAUGUACCGAAGGUAGUUUGGAGUCCCGGAUGAGAUCGGGAACAUGAUGAGGAGUCUCAAAAUAGUCGAGACGUAAAGAUCGAUAUAUUGGACGACUAUAUUCGGACAUCGGAAAGGUUCCGAGUGAUUCGGGUAUUUAUCGGAGUACCGGAGAGUUACGGGAAUUCCCCGGGGAGUAUAUGGGCCUUAUUGGGCUUUAAGGGAAAAAAAGAGAGAGGCAGGCCGCCCCCCCCCCAAGGCCUAGUCCGAAUUGGACUAGGGGGAGGGGCUGCGCCCCCUCCUUUCUUCUCUUCUCUUUUCCCUUUCCUUGACUCCUACUCCUACUACAUGGAAGGGGGGAAUCCUACUCCCGGUGGGAGUAGGACUCCCCAGGGCGCGCCAUAGAGAGGGCCGGCCCCUCCCCUCCCCUCAUCUCCUCCUUUAUAUACUGAGGCUAGGGGCACCCCAUGACACACAAGUUGAUCUAUUGAUCUCUCCGACCGUGUGCGGUGCCCCCCUCCACCAUAUUCCACCUCGGUCAUAUCGUAGCGGUGCUUAGUCGAAGCCCUGCGUCGGUAGCAACAUCAUCAUCGUCAUCACGCCGUCGUGCUGACGGAACUCUCCCGUGAAGCUCUGCUAGAUCGGAGUUCACAGGACGUCAUCGAGCUGAAAGUGUGCUGAACUCGGAGGUGCCGUACGUCGGUACUUGGAUCGGUUAGAUCGUGAAGACAUACGCCUACAUCAACCGCGUUGUGCUAACGCUUCCGCUUUCGUUCUACGAGGGUACGUGGACUAACUCUCCCCGCUCGUUGUUAUGCAUUGAUACGUCUCCAACGUAUCUAUAAUUUUUGAUUGUUCCAUGCUAUUAUAUUACCCCUUUUGGAUGUUUAUGGGCUUUAUUUUACAUUUUUAUAUCAUUUUUAGGACUAACAUACUAACUGGAGGCCCAGCCCGUAUUGCUGUUUUAUUGCCUGUUUCAGUAUUUCGAAGAAAAAGAAUAUCAAACGGAGUCCAAACGAAAUGAAACCUUCGGGAGCGUGAUUUUUGGAAUGAACAUGAUCCGGGAGACUUGGAGUACAAGCGAGGGAAGUUUCGAGGAGGCCAGGACAUAGGAGGGCGCCCACACCCCCUGGGCGCGCCCCUAGUCUCGUCGGCCCCUCGAGGCUCCCCCGACCGACUUCUUUCGCCUAUAUAUUCCCACAUACCCUAAAAACAUCAAGGACAAUGAUAGAUCGGGAGUUCCGCCGCCGCAAGCCUCUGUAGCCACCAAAAUCCUCUUAGGAGCCCGUUCCGGCACACUGCCGGAGGGGGAAUCCAUCACCGGUGACCAUCUUCAUCAUCCCGGCGCUCUCCAUGACAAGGAGGGAGUAGUUCACCCUCGGGGCUGAGGGUAUGUACCAGUAGCUAUGUGUUUGAUCUCUCUCUCUCUCUCUCUCUCUCUCUCUCUCUUGUGUUCUCUCUAUGGCACGAUCUUAAUGUAUCACGAGCUUUGCUAUUAUAGUUGGAUCUUAUGAUGUUUCUCCCCCUCUACUCUCUUGUAAUGGAAUGAGUUUUCCCUUUGAAGUUAUCUUAUCGGAUUGAGUCUUUAAGGAUUUGAGAACACUUGAUGUAUGUCUUGUCGUGCUUAUCUGUGGUAACAAUGGGAUAUCACGUGGUCCACUUGAUGUAUGUUUUGGUGAUCAACUUGUGGGUUCCGCCCAUGGACCUAUGCAUAAGGGUUGGCACACGUUUUCGUCUUGACUCUCCGGUAGAAACUUUGGGGCACUCUUUGAAGUACUUUGUGUUGGUUGAAUAGAUGAAUCUGAGAUUGUGUGAUGCAUAUCGUAUAAUCAUGCCCGCGGAUGAGGUGACAAUGGAGUAUCUAGGUGACAUUAGGGUUUUGGUUGAUUUGUGUCUUAAGGUGUUAUUCUAGUAUGAACUCUAUGAUAGAUUGAACGGAAAGAAUAGCUUCAUGUUAUUUUACUACGGACUCUUGAAUAGAUAGAACAGAAAGGACAACUUUGAGGUGGUUUCGUAUCCUACCAUAAUCUCUUCGUUUGUUCUCCGCUAUUAGUGGCUUGGAGUGACUCUUUGUUGCAUGUUGAGGGAUAGUUAUAUGAUCCAAUUAUGUUAUUAUUGUUGAGAGAACUUGCACUAGUGAAAGUAUGAACCCUAGGCCUAUUUUCCUACCAUUGCAAUACCGUUUAAGCUCACUUUUAUCAUUAGUUACCUUGCUGUUUUUAUAUUUUCAGAUUACAAAAACCUAUAUCUACUAUCCAUAUUGCACUUGUAUCACCAUCUCUUCGCCGAACUAGUGCACCUAUACAAUUUACCAUUGUAUUGGGUGUGUUGGGGACACAAGAGACUCUUUGUUAUUUGGUUGCAGGGUUGUUUGAGAGAGACCAUCUUCAUCCUACGCCUCCCACGGAUUGAUAAACCUUAGGUCAUCCACUUGAGGGAAAUUUGCUACUGUCCUACAAACCUCUGCACUUGGAGGCCCAACAACGUCUACAAGGAGAAGGUUGCGUAGUAGACAUCAAGCUCUUUUCUGGUGCCGUUGCCGGUAAGGCUAGGUAAGCGGCACUCACACCACUUCAACUAAGCUCUUUUCCGGCGCCGUUGCCGGGGAGGUGAGUGCUUGAAGGUAUAUCUUUAGAUCUUGCAAUCGAAUCUUUUUGUUUCUUGUUUCAUCACUAGUUUAGUUUAUAAAAGAAAACUACAAAAAAAUGGAGUUAAGUUUGUCGCACACGCUUUAUCUUUUUAGUAUCUUUCGUGAGUAUGAUGAAAAGGAAAAUUGUGCUCAAGUGCUAGAAGAAGAAUGCAUUAAAAUGCUUGGUACUAAAUCUUUGAAUGAUGAUCAUGAUUGCAAUGUUGUUAGUAUGAACUCUUUGAAUAUCCAUAGUACUAAUGAUGAUUGCACUAGUUAUGAUGAAAAUAUCUCUUAUAAGCAUAUCGAUUUUUGUGGAGUAGAUUGAGUUUGCAAGUACACACCAAAUAGGGAAAAUAGAUAUUGCAAGAGGCAUAAGUAUUUAGAAACUAAAGGGUUGCAAGAAAUUCUUGAUGUUUGUGCUGAAAAAUUCAAUAUUUUUCGCGCUCCUUGUGAACUUUGCAAUGAACGUGGUCAUUUAAAUCUCCAAUGCAAAUUGUUUCAUGACCGAAUCGUGUCCAAAAAUUGUGAUAACUUGAUUACCCUUGAGCAUCAUAAAGAUCUUAGUCUUCUUUUGGGGUAUGAAGAAAUGAAACGUAUAACUGAGGGUAUUCCAAAAUUUAAUCUUGAUAGAUGUCUUGAUUUUGAUCUAGAGAAGAUUUAUUUGUAUUGUGCGGUGAAUUGCAUUGAAAAUCCUUAUAUUGGCAAUUACUUAAAGAAAAGAAAGCAAUUAUAAGAUGAAGAGAAUACUAAUGAAAGGGAAGAGACUUCCCAAUCUCCUCCUAUUAUUUCUUAUGAUGAAUCAAGUAACGAGGAGGAGCUUUCUAUUAAACCAAUCUCAUCAAUAAGGAGCUCAAAGAAGAAGGUUGAACCCACACAUAAUGAGAAGAAAAAAAAUAAAAGAAGGAGCAACAAAGGUAGAAAGGUAUCCCUCCCAAAUGAUGUUGCCCCUACUACUCAUUGUGAUGAUGAUAAUUGCCAUACUAUUGGUGCUAUCCAUAUUUUUAAUGAUGAGAGUGAUUAUGCUUAUGAUAUGAAAAGGCCCAAGUUUGGGGAAGCUAUGUUUGAUGAGGAUGAAAUAUUUGAGAAUAUAUUUUCUGAAAUUAAUGUUUGUCCCAAGCUUGGGGAUGCUAUGUUUAAUGAAGAUGAUAUUUUUAGCAUCCCAAGUUUUGAUAUGCAAAGUUGUUAUAAUGAUAGCAUGCCUCUUACCUAUGAUGAUUAUAUUGAUGAAAGUGGGUUUGGAAGAGUGUCAACUUUAGGAAGUAGUGAUCCCACUAUUUUGGAGGAUGUUGAAUUUUAUUGUGAUGAAUACAAAAGUGGAUUUGGAAGAGUGUCAACUUUAUUUAGUGAUUCCACUAUCUUUGGAGAGGUUUCAAUCGAUUAUGAUGAGAACGAAGUUGCUACUUCUGAUGAUUAUUGUGAUGAAACUUAUGCUAUAAAAAGUAGUGAUGAUUAUAUUUAUAAAACUUGUCAUGAUUAUGAUUACCCUUUUUCUGAACAUUACACUUUUAAUGUGGAAACAAUUUUUAGUGUUCAAGUCUCUUAUGAUACUCCCACUAUUCCGAAUGAGAAGAAUUUUGCUUAUGUGGAGAGUAGUAAAAUUUCUAUGCUUGUAGAUCAUGAAAAGAAUUCUUUAGGCGCUGGUUAUAUUAUUGAAUUCAUUCAUGAUUCUACUGAAAAUUAUUAUGGGGGAGGAACAUAUGCUUGUAGGAAUUGCAAUAAUGUCAAGUUUCCUCUCUAUGUGCUUAAAGUCUUGAAGUUAUGCUUGUUUUACCUUCCUAUGCUAGUUGAUUAUUGUUCCCAUAAGUUGUUUGCUCAGAAAAUCCCUAUGCAUAGGAAGUGUGUUAGGCUUAAAUGUGCUAGUCAUAUGCUUCAUGAUGCUCCCGUUAUGUUUCAAUUCAUAUCGUUUAUAUGAGCAUCAUUGUCAUCAUCAUGCCUAGCUAGAAAGGCAUUAAAAAAAGCGCUUGUUGAGAGUCAAUCCAAUAUUUAUCCUUACUGUUUUUACGUGUCCACAUGAUUAUGCUACUAUAAUAAUCAUGUUUUAUAGCUUUUGUUUCAAUAAAGUGCCAAGUAAGACCUUUAGGAUAGCUUACGGUGAUAGUUGUGUUGAUCCUACUGAAAAUCAGAAAUUUUUGCACCCAGUAAAUUAGUUUUGUUAAUUCACAGAAACGUGCUCAUGAUCUGAUUCUUUUUUGCUCUGGAUUGGUACACAAAUUUCUUAGGACUUCCUAGUUUGGUAGGAUUUUUAGACUUCCAGAAGUUUGCGUUAGUUACAGAUUGCUACAGAUUGUUCUGUUUUUGACAGAUUCUGUUUUCAUUAUGUUGUUUGCUUACUUGAUGAAUCUAUGGCUAGUAUUAAGUGGUAUGAACCAUAGAGAACUUGAAAUACAGCAGUUUUAACACCAAUAUAAAUAAAUAAUGAGUUCAUUACAGUACCUUAUGUGGUGGUUUUGUUUUGUUUCACUAACGGAGCUUAUAAGAUUUCCUGUUGAGUUUUGUGUUGUGAAGUUUUCAAGUUUUGAGUAAAGAUUUGAUGGACUAUGGAAUAAGGAGUGGCAAAAGCCUAAGCUUGGGGAUGCCCAUGGCACACCAAGCUAUUCAAGAGUAGCCAAAAGCCUAAGCUUGGGGAUGCCCCGGGAAGGCAUCCCCUCUUUCGUCUUCGUUCAUUGGUAACUUUACUUGGAGCUAUAUUUUUAUUCGCCAUAUGAUAUGUGUUUUGCUCGGAGCGUCGUGUAUGAUAUUAGUAUUUUCUUUUUAGUUUUCCACAAUCAUCCUUGUUGUACACACCUUUUGGGAGAAGCCUACUUUAUUAGAAUUUAUUAGAAUACUCUAUGUGCUUCACUUAUAUCUUUUGAGCUUGAUAGUUUUUGCUCUAGUGCUUCACUUAUAUCUUUUAGAGCACGGCGGUGGCUUAAUUUUGUAGAAAUUGCUAGUAUCUCAUGCUUCACUUAUAUUAUUUUGAGAGCCUCUUAGAACAACAUGGUAUUUGCUACGGUUAUAAAAUUGGUCCUAGAAUGGUAGGCAUCCAAGUUGGGUAUAAUAAAAACUAUCAUAGGAAGUGAAUUGGAUGCUAUGAUCAAUUUGACACUUGAUAAUUGUUUUGAGAUAUGGAGGUAGUGAUAUUAGAGUCAUGCUAGUUGGGUGAUUAUGAAUUUAAAGAAUGCUUGUGUUGAAGUUAGCAAGUCCCGUAGCAUGCAUGUAUGGUUAAAGUUGUGUAACAAAUUUGAAACAUGAAGUGUCCUUGGAUUGUGCAUCCUUAUGAGUGGUGGUCGUGGACGAGCGAUGGUCUUUUCCUACCAAUCUAUCUCUCUAGGAGCAUGCGCGUAGUGGUUGGUUUUUGAUGACUUCUAAAUUUUUUGCAAUAAGUAUAUGAGUUCUUUUGACUAAUGUUGAGUCCAUGGAUUAUACGCACUUUUACCUUUCCAUCAUUGCUAGCCUCUUCGGUACCAUGCAUUGCCUUUUCUCACCUUGAGAGUUGGUGCAAACUUCGCCGGUGCAUCCAAACCCCGUGAUAUGAUACACUGUAUCACACAUAAACCUCCUUAUAUCUUCCUCAAAACAGCCACCAUACCUACCUAUUAUGGCAUUUCCAUAGCCAUUCCGAGAUAUAUUGCCAUGCAACUUUUCACCGUUCCGUUUAUCAUCAUGACACGCAUUACUUUUGUCAUAUUGCCAUUGCAUGACAUGUAGUUGACAUCGUAUUUGUGGCAAAGCCACCGUGCAUAAUUUUUCAUACAAGUCACUCUUGAUUCAUUGCACCAUCCUGGUACACCACCGGAGGCAUUCAUAUAGAGUCAUAUCUUGUUCUAGUUUUGAGUUGUAAUUCAUGUGUUGUAAAUCAAUAAAAGUGUGAUAAUCAUCAUUAUUAGAGCAUUAUCCCCAAAAAAGGCCAAAGAAAAAAAGGAAAAAAAGAAAAAAAAAAGAAAAGAAAAAAGAAAAAAGAAAAAGAAAGAAAAAGGGGGCAAUGUCACUAUCUCUUUUCCACACUUGUGCUUCAAAGUAGCACCAUGUUCUUCAUAUAGAGAGUCUCAUAUAUUGUCACUUUCAUAUACUAGUGGGAAUUUUUCAUUAUAGAACUUGGCUUGUAUAUUCCUACGAUGGGCUUCCUCAAAAUGCCCUAGGUCUUCGUAAGCAAGCAAGCUGGAUGCACACCCACUAGUUUUAUUUUGUUGAGCUUUCAUACAUUUAUAGCUCUAGUGCAUCCGUUGCAUGGCAAUCCCUACUCCUCAUGUUGACAUCAAUUGAUGGGCAUCUCCAUAGCCCGUUGAUUAUCCUCGUCAAUGUGAGACUUUCUCCUUUUUUGGUCUUCUCCACACAAUCCCCAUCAUCAUAUUCUAUUCCACCCAUAGUGUUAUAUCCAUGGCUCAUGCUCAUGUAUUGCGUGAAAGUUGAAAAAGUUUGAGAUUAUUUAAGUACGAAACAAUUGCUUGGCUUGUCAUCGGGGGUGUAGAAUUUGGGAACAUUUUUGUGUGAUGAAAAUGAAGCAUAGCCUAACUAUAUGAUUUUGUAGGGAUGAACUUUCUUUAGCCAUGUUAUUUUGAGAAGACAUGAUUGCUUUUAUUAGUAUGCUUAAAGUGUUACUAUUUCUUAUGUCAAUAUGAACUUUUAUUUUGAAUCAUUUGGAUCUGAACAUUCAUGCCACAAUAAAGAAAAUUACUUUGAGAAUAAUGCUAGGUAGCAUUCCACAUCAAAAAUUCUGUUUUUAUCCUUUACCUACUCGAGGACGAGCAUGAAUUAAGCUUGGGGAUGCUUGAUGCGUCUCCAAUGUAUCUAUAAUUUUUGAUUGUUCCAUGGUAUUAUAUUACCCCUUUUGGAUGUUUAUGGGCUUUACUUUACACUUUUACAUCAUUUUUAGGACUAACCUACUAACCGGAGGCCCAGCCUGUAUUGCUGUUUUAUUGUCUGGUUCAGCAUUUCGAAGAAAAGGAAUAUCAAACGGAGUCCAAACGAAAUGAAACCUCCGGGAGCGUGAUUUUUGGAAUGAACAUGAUCUAGGAGACUUGGAGUACAAGCCAGGGAAGUUUCGAGGAGGCCGGGAGAUAGGAGGGCGCGCCCACCCCCCUGGGCGUGCCCCCCUGUCUCGUGGGCCCCUCGAGGCUCCCCCGACCGACUUCUUUCACCUAUAUAUUCCCAUAUACCCUAAAAACAUCGAGGACGAAGAUAGAUCGGGAGUUCCGCCGCAGCAAGCCUCUGUAGCCACCAAAAACCUCUCAGGAGCCCGUUCCGGCACCCUGCCGGAGGGGGAAUCCAUCACCGGUGGCCAUCUUCAUCAUCCCGGCGCUCUCCGUGACGAGGAGGGAGUAGUUCACCCUCGGGGCUGAGCGUAUGUACCAGUAGCUAUGUGUUUGAUCUCUCUCUCUCUCUCUCUCUCUCGUGUUCUCUCUAUGGCACGAUCUUGAUGUAUCGCGAGCUUUGCUAUUAUAGUUGGAUCUUAUGAUGUUUCUCCCCCUCUACUCUCUUGUAAUGGAUUGAGUUUUCCCUUUGAAGUUAUCUUAUCAGAUUGAGUCUUUAAGGAUUUGAGAACACUUGAUGUAUGUCUUGUCGUGCUUAUCUGUGGUGACAAUGGGAUAUCACGUGAUCCACUUGAUGUAUGUUUUGGUGAUCAACUUGCGGGUUCCUCCCAUGAACCUAUGCAUAAGGGUUGGCACACGUUUUCGUCUUGACUCUCCGGUAGAAACUUUGGGGCACUCUUUGAAGUACUUUGUGUUGGUUGAAUAGAUGAAUCUGAGAUUGUGUGGUGCAUAUCGUAUAAUCAUGCCCAUGGAUACUUGAGGUGACAAUGGAGUAUCUAGGUGACAUUAGGGUUUUGGUUAAUUUGUGUCUUAAGGUGUUAUUCUAGUAUGAAAUCUAUGGUAGAUUGAACGGAAAGAAUAGCUUCAUGUUAUUUUACUACGGACUCUUGAAUAGAUAGAACAGAAAGGAUAACUUUGAGGUGGUUUCGUACCCUACCAUAAUCUCUUCGUUUGUUCUCCGCUAUUAGUGGCUUUGGAGUGACUCUUUGUUGCAUGUUGUGGGAUAGUUAUAUGAUCCAAUUAUGUUAUUAUUGUUGAGAGAACUUGCAUUAGUGAAAGUAUGAACCCUAGGCCUUGUUUCCUACCAUUGCAAUACCGUUUACGGUCACUUUUAUCAUUAGUUACCUUGCUGUUUUUAUAUUUUCAGAUUACAAAAACCUAUAUCUACUAUCCAUAUUGCACUUGUAUCACCAUCUCUUCACCGAACUAGUGCACCUAUACAACUUACCAUUGUAUUGGGUGUGUUGGGGACACAAUAGACUCUUUGUUAUUUGGUUGCAGGGUUGUUUGAGAGAGACCAUCUUCAUCCUAUGCCUCGCACGGAUUAAUAAACCUUAGGUCAUCCACUUGAGGGAAAUUUGCUACUGUCCUACAAACCUAUGCACUUGGAGGCCCAACAACGUCUACAAGGAGAAGGUUGCGUAGUAUACAUCAUGCAUCACCAUGAUCUUGCGUGUGCGUAGGAUUUUUUUUGAAAUUACUACGUUCCCCAACAGUGGCAUCCGAGCUAGAUUUAUGCGUAGAUGUUAUAUGCACGAGUAGAACACAAGUGAGUUGUGGGCGAUACAAGUCAUAAUGCUUACCGGCAUGUCAUACUUUGGUUCGGCGGUAUUGUUGGAUGAAGCGGCUCGGACCGAUAUUACGCUUACGCUUACGCGAGACUGGUUCUACCGACGUGCUUUGCACACAGGUGGCUGACGGGUGUCUGUUUCUCCAACUUUAGUUGAACCAAGUGUGGCUACGCCCGGUCCUUGUGAAGGUUAAAACAACACUAACUUGACGAAAUAUCAUUGUGGUUUUGAUGCGUAGGUAAGAACGGCUCUUGCUCAGCCCGUAGCAGACACGUAAAACUUGCAACAACAAAGUAGAGGACGUCUAACUUGUUUUUGCAGGGCAUGUUGUGAUGUGAUAUGGUCAAGACGUGAUGAGAUAUAAGUUGUUGUAUGAUAUGAUCAUGUUUUGUAGAAGUUAUCGGCAACUGGCAGAAGCCUUAUGGUUUUCUCUUUAUUGCAUAAGAUGCAAGCGCCAAAUAAUUGCUUUACUUUAUCGCUAUGUGAUAGCAAUUGUCGGUGAGACGACCAUGUGAUGACACAUCGAUAUAGAUCAAGAUGAUGGAGAUCAUGGUGUCAUGCCGGUGACGAUGGAGAUCAUAACGAUGCUUUGGAGAUGGAGAUCAAAGACACAAGAUAAUGAUGGCCAUAUUAUGUCACAUAUUUUAAUUGCAUGUGAUGUUUAUCUUUUAUACAUCUUAUUUUGCUUUAACUGACGGUAGCAUUAUAAGAUGAUCUCUCACUAAAUUUCAAGGUAUAAGUGUUCUCCUUGAGUAUGCACCGUAGCCAAAGUUCGUCGUGCCGAGACACCACGUGAUGAUCGGGUGUGAUAAGCUCAACGUUCAUCUACAACGGGUGCAAGCCAGUUUUGCAAACGGAGAAUACCCGGGUUAAACUUGACGAGCCUAGCAUAUGCAGAUAUGGCCUCGAAACACUGAGACCGAAAGGUCGAGCGUGAAUCAUAUAGUAGAUAUGAUCAACAUAGUGAUGUUCACCAUUGAAAACUACUCCAUCUCACAUGAUGAUCGGACAUGGUUUAGUUUAUUUGCAUCACGUGAUCACUUAGAUGAUUAGAGGGAUGUCUAUCUAAGUGGGAGUUCUUAAGUAAUAUGAUUAAUUGAACUUUAAUUUAUCAUGAACUUAGUCUUGAUAGUGUUUUGCAAACAAUAUUGUAGAUCAAUAGCUCGCGUUGUUGCUUCCCUAUGUUUUUUAUGUGUUCCUAGAGAAAACUAAGUUGAAAGAUGAUAGUAGCAAUGAUGCGAACUCGGUCCGUGAUCUGAGGUUUAUCCUCAUUGUUACACAGAACAAUUAUGUCCUUGAUGCACCGCUAGGUGAUGUCUACUACACAACCUUCUUCUUGUAGACGUUGUUGGGCCUGCAAGUGCACGAGUUUGUAGGACAGUAGCAAAUUUCCCUCAAGUGGAUGACCUAAGGUUUAUCAAUCCGUAGGAGGCGUAGGAUUAAGAUGGUCUCUCUCAAACAACCCUGCAACCAUUUACAAAGAGUCUCUUGUGUCCCCAACACACCCAAUACAAUGGUAAGUUGUAUAGGUGCACUAGUUCGGCGAAGAGAUGGUGAUACAAGUGCAAUAUGGAUGGUAGAUAAAGGUUUUUGUAAUCUGAAAUUAUAAAAACAGCAAGGUAACAAGUGGUAAAAGUGAGCGUAAACGGUAUUGCAAUGAUAGGAAACAAGGCCUAGGGUUCAUACUUUCACUAGUUCAAGUUCUCUCAACAAUAAUAACAUAGAUAGAUCAUAUAACAAUCCCUCAACAUGCAACAAAGAGUCACUACAAAGCCACUAAUAGCGGAGAACAAUCAUAGAGAUUAUGGUAGGGUAUGAAACCACCUCAAAGUUAUUCUUUCGGAUCAAUCUAUGCAAGAGUUCGUACUAGAAUAACACCUUAAGACACAAAUUAACCAAAACCCUAAUGUCACCUAGAUACUCCAUUGUCACCUCAAGUAUCCGUGGGCAUGAUUAUACGAUAUGCAUCACACAAUCUCAGAUUCAUCCAACCAACACAAAGUACUUCAAAGAGUGCACCAAAGUUUCUACCGGAGAGUCAAGAAAACGUGUGCCAACCCCUAUGCAUAGGUUCAUGGAUGGAACCCGCAAGUUGGUCACCAAAACAUACAUCAAGUGGCACGUGAUAUCCCAUUGUCACCACAGAUAAACAUUGCAAGACAUACAUCAAGUGUUCUCAAAUAAAGACUCAAUCCGAUAAGAUAACUUCAAGAGGGAAACUCAAUUCAUCACAAGAGAGUAGAGGGGGAGAAACAUCAUAAGAUCCAACUAUAAUAGCAAAGCUCGGGAUACAUCAAGAUCGUGCCAUAGAGGGAACACGAGAGAGAACACGAGAGAGAGAGAUCAAAGACAUAGCUACUGGUACAUACCCUCAGCCUCGAGGGUGAACUACUCCCUCCUCGUCAUGGAUAGCGCCGGGAUGAUGAAGAUGGCCACCGGUGAUGGAUUCCCCCUCCGGCAGGGUGCCGGAACGGGCUCCCGAGAGGUUUUUGGUGGCUACAGAGGCUUGCGGCGGCAGAACUCCCGACCUAUCUUGAUAUUCGAUGUUUUUAGGGUACGUGGACUUAUAUAGGCAAAAGAAGUCGGUCGGGGGGUGCUCGAGGGGCCCACGAGGCAAGGGGCGCGCCCAGUAGGGGGGCACCCUCCUAUCUCAUGGCCUCCUCGAGGCUCUUCUGACGUGAACUCCAAGUCUCCUGGGUGAUAUUCUUCCCAAAAAUCACGUUGCCGAAGGUUUCAUUCCGUUUGGACUCCGUUUGAUAUUCCUUUUCUUCGAAAUACUGAAACAGGCAAUAAAACAACAAUAUGGGCUGGGCCUCCGGUUAAUAGGUUAGUCCCAAAAGUAAUCUAAAAGUGUAAAAUAAAGCUCGUAAUCAUUCAAAACAGAUAAUAAAAUAGCAUGAAUGCUUCAUAAAUUAUAGAUACGUUGGAGACGUAUCAGCAUCCCCAAGCUUAAUUCCUACUCGUCCUCGAGUAGGUAAAUGAUAAAGAAAGAAUUUAUGAAGUGUGAAUGCUAGAAGGUGCACAAGUUUGACCAAUGAUAAUUUCAAUCACCUUUUCUAGCAUGAUUAUAUGUCAUAAUAGUAGUUCAUCUCAUAAAACUUCUCACGAACAAGUAACAAGCAAUUCACAUGUUAAAGUAUAGACCAUAAACUUUCUUGAAAACUAGCAAACUUCAUUCUUAGUCAUCAAACAAUUGCAAUUCAUCUUAUUUUCAGGAAUAGCAAACUCCACAUACUCAACUAUCACAUAGUCUUCUACAAUUGCUAACACUCACGCAAUACUUGUGGUUAUGAAGUUUUAAUCAGACACAGAGAAAGAUAGGGGCUUAUAAUGUUGCCUCCAAACGUAUUCACCUUUGGGUGAUGUCAACAAUAAUAGUUCAUGCUAGCGUACAUCCAAUUGGAUAUAUAUAUAUCAGGAUCACCCUAACACAAAGUGCUUGCCAAAGGAUAAAAUGAAAAAGGGAAAGGUGAAGAUCACCUUGACUCUUGCAUAAAGUAAAAGACAUAAAGUAAAAGAUAGGCCCUUCGCAGAGGGAAGCAGAGGUUGCCAUGCGCUUUUAGGGUUGGAUACACAAAAUCUUAAUGCGAAAGAACGUCACUUUAUAUUGCCCCUUGUAUAUGGACCUUUAUUAUGCAGUCCGUCGCUUUUAUUGCUUCCAUAACAAGUUCAUACAAAGCUUAUGUUGUCCGCACUAAUAAGUCAUGCAUAUUUAGAGAGCAAUUUUUAUUGCUUGCACCGAUGACAACUUACUUGAAGGAUCUUACUCAAUCCAUAGGUAGAUAUGGUGGACUCUCAUGGCAAAACUGGGUUUAAGGAUAUUUGGAAGCACAAGUAGUAUCUCUACUUGGUGCUAGGAAUUUUUGGCUAGCAUGAGGGGGAAAGGCAAGCUCAACAUGUUUGAAUGAUCUAUGACAAUAUACUUUAACUGAGAUGUGAGAAAACAUAACUCAUUACGUUGUCUUCCUUGUCCAACAUCAACUCUUUAGCAUGUCAUACUUAAUGAGUGCUCACAAUUAUAAAAGAUGUCUAUGAUAAUAUAUUUAUAUGUGAAAUCUCUCUUCCUUCAAUAUUCUUUCAUGAAUUGUUCAAAUGACUAAUACAAUGCUUGCUAACCGUCAAUAAAUUUACAACCUCUACUUCUUAGAUGUGAAGUCAUUACUCCCCAUGGGAUAAGCAAAUGAAACAUAUAUAGUUUCAGAUUUAUGACAUUCAACUCAUUCAACCAUUUACUCAUAGGAUAUAAGUGAAGCACAAAAGUAAAUGACAAACUACCCCAAAAAGAUACAAGUGAAGAUCAAUGAGUAGCUAAAUAGUUAUGUAACUAUGUGAAGACUCUCUCUCAUUAAAGAAUUUCAGAUCUUGGUAUCUUAUUCAAACAGCAAGCAAACAAAAUAAAAUGGCAUUGCAAUGAUAGCACCACUCAUGUGAAGAAGCAAAAACUUAGGCUCAACCGAUACUAACCGAUAGUUGUUGAAGAAGAAAGGUGGGAUGCCUAAUGGGGCAUCCCUAAGCUUAGAUGCUUGAGACUUCUUGAAAUAUUAUCUUGGGGUGCCUUGGGCAUCCCCAAUCUUGAGCUUUUAUGUCUCCUUAAUUCCUCUCAUAUCAUGGUUUCUCUUCUUUUUAUUAAAAGCUUCAUCCACAACAAACUCAACAAGAACUCGUGAGAUAGGUUAGUAUAAACCAAUGCAAAACCUUUUUCUACUGUAAAAAAUCACUAAAAUUAUUAUUCAACAUUGCAUACUAAAUGGCUCUGCAUAUUUAAUACUCCUAUCCUCAAAUAGAAUCAUUAAACAAGCAAACAUAUGCAAACAUUGCAAACAUAAUAGCAAUCUGCCAAAACAGUACAAUCUGUAAAGAAUGCAAGAUUCAUCAUACUUCCCUAAUUCAAACAAUUAUGAAAUAAAAUUCCCACUGUAGUAAAUUUAUCAGAGCUUAAUAUUCAAAAAGUUUCAGCAUUAUACCAUUCUCUGACUUUUCUAGGGAAUUUUUGCGACAGCGGUAAACUUUCUGUUUUCAAACAGCAACAUGUAUACUAGCAAAAUAACCAUGGCAAAGGCUAUCCUUGACAUUUUUAUUGAAAAUAAAGAUGCAAAACAUUAUUAUAAAUAACAGCAAGCAAAAACUAACAAACUAAAAUGACGCUCCAAGCAAAACACAUACCAUGUGGCGAAUAAAAAUAUAGCUCCAAGUAAAGUUAUCGAUGAACGAAGACGAAAGAGGGGAUGCCUUCCGGGGCAUCCCCAAGCUUAGGAUCAUGGUUGUACUUGAAUAUUACCUUGGAGUGCCUUGGUAAUCCCCAAGCUUAGGCUCUUUCCACUCCUUAUUCCAUAGUCCAUCGAAUCUUUACCCAAAACUUGAAAACUUCAACCACACAAAACUCAACACAAAACUCGUAAGCUCCGUUAGUAUAAGAAAAUAAAACCACCACUUAGGUAAUGUAAUUAACUCAUUUUAAAUUAAUAUUGGUGUAAUAUCUACUGUAUUCUAACUUCUCUAUGGUUCAUACCCUCCGAUACUACUCAUAGAUUCAUUAAAAUAAGCAAACAACACAAUGAAAACAGAAUCUGUCAAAAACAGAACAGUCUGUAGUAAUCUGUAUCAAACGUAUACUUAUGGAACCCCAAAACUUAUGAAAUAAAUUGUUGGACCUGAGGAAUUUGUCUAUUAAUAAUCUGCAAAAAUAAUCAACCUAAAAUCACUCUCCAGUAAAAAAUGGUAACUAAUCUCGUGAGCACAAAAGAUUCUGUUUUUUACAGCAAGAUCAUAUAGACUUCACCCAAGUCUUCCCAAAGGUUGUACUUGGCACUUUAUUGAAACAAAAGCUAUUAAACAUGAUUACUACAGUAGCAUAAUCAUGUGGACACACAAAAACAGUAAGGAUAAAUAUUGGGUUGUCUCCCAACAAGCGCUUUUCUUUAAUGCCUUUUUAGCUAGGCAUGAUGAUGGCAAUGAUGCUCACAUAAAGGAUAAGAAUUGAAACAUAAAGAGUGCAUCAUGAAGCAUAUGGCUAGCACAUUUAAGCCUAACCCACUUCUUAUGCAUAGGGAUUUUGUGAGCAAACAACUUAUGGGAACAAUAAUCAACUAGCAUAGGAGGGCAAAAGAAGCAUAGCUUCAAAAUUUUCAACACAUAGGGAGGAAACUUGAUAUUAUUGCAAUUCCUACAAGCAUAAGUUCCUCCCUCAUAAUAAUUUUAAGUAGCAUCAUGAAUGAAUUCAACAAUAUAACCAGCACCUAAAGCAUUCUUUUCAUGAUCUACAAGCAUAGAAAAUUUACUACUCUCCACAUAAGCAAAAUUCUUCUCAUGAAUAAUAGUGGGAGCAAACUCAACAAAAUAAUUAUCAUGUGAGGCAUAAUCCAAUUGAAAACUAAAAUCAUGAUGACAUGUUUCAUGGUUAUAAUUAUUAUUAAUAGCAUACAAGUCAUCAUAAUAAUCAUCAUAGAUAGCAACUUUGUUCUCAUAAUCAAUUGGAACCUCUUCCGAAAUAGUGGAAUCAUCACUAAAUAAAGUUGACACUCUUCCAAAUCCACUUUCAUGUUCAUCAUAAUAAGAUUCAACAUCCUCUAAAAUAGUGGGAUCACUACUUCCUAAAGUUGACACUCUUCCAAACCCACUUUCAUCAAUAUAAUCAUCAUAAAUAGGAGGCAUGCUUUCAUCAUAAUAAUUCUCAUCAAAGCUUGGGGGACAAAAAAUAUAAUAUUCAUCAAACAUAGCUUCUUCAAGCUUGUGGCUUUGCAUAUCAUUAGCAUCAUGGAUAUUCAAGAAAUUCAUACUAACAACAUUGUAAUCAUGCUCAUCAUUCAUAGAUUUAGUAUCAAACAUUCUAUAGAUUUCUUCUUCUAGCACUUGAGCACAAAUUUCCUUUUCAGCAUACUCACGAAACAUAUUAAAAAGACAAAGCGUAUGAGACAAACUUAACUCCAUUUUUUAGUUUUCUUUUAUAAACUAAACUAGUGAUAAAACAAGAAACAAAAAUAUUCGAUUGCAAGAUCUAAAGAUAUACCUUCAAGCACUCACCUCCCCGGCAACGGCGCCAGAAAAGAGCUUGAUGUCUACUACACAACCUUCUUCUUGUAGACGUUGUUGGGCCUGCAAGUGCACGAGUUUGUAGGAUAGUAGCAAAUUUCCCUCAAGUGGAGACCUAAGGUUUAUCAAUCCGUAGGAGGCGUAGGAUGAAGAUGGUCUCUCUCAAACAACCCUACAACCAAAUAACAAAGAGUCUCUUGUGUCCCCAACACACCCAAUACAAUGGUAAGUUGUAUAGGUGCACUAGUUCGGCGAAGAGAUGGUGAUACAAGUGCAAUAUGGAUGGUAGAUAAAGGUUUUUGUAAUCUAAAAUUAUAAAAACAGCAAGGUAACAAGUGGUAAAAGUGAGCGUAAAUGGUAUUGCAAUGAUAGGAAACAAGGCCUAGGGUUCAUACUUUCACUAGUGCAAGUUCUCUCAACAAUAAUAACAUAGAUAUAUCAUAUAACAAUCCCUCAACAUGCAACAAAGAGUCACUCCAAAGCCACUAAUAGCGGAGAACAAACGUAAAGAUUAUGGUAGGGUACGAAACCACCUCAAAGUUAUUCUUUCGGAUCAAUCUAUGCAAGAGUUCGUACUAGAAUAACACCUUAAGACACAAAUCAACCAAAACCCUAAUGUCACCUAGAUACUCCAUUGUCACCUCAAGUAUCCGUGGGCAUGAUUAUACGAUAUGCAUCACGCAAUCUCAGAUUCAUCCAACCAACACAAAGUACUUCAAAGAGUGCCCCAAAGUUUCUACCGGAGAGUCAAGAAAACGUGUGCCAACCCCUAUGCAUGGGUUCAUGGGCGGAACCCGCAAGUUGGUCACCAAAACAUACAUCAAGUGGCACGUGAUAUCCCAUUGUCACCACAGAUAAACACGGCAAGACAUACAUCAAGUGUUCUCAAAUAAAGACUCAAUUCGAUAAGAUAACUUCAAGAGGGAAACUCAAUUCAUCACAAGAGAGUAGAGGGGGAGAAACAUCAUAAGAUCCAACUAUAAUAGCAAAGCUCGAGAUACAUCAAGAUCGUGCCAUAGAGGGAACAUGAGAGAGAGAGAUCAAACACAUAGCUACUGGUACAUACCCUCAGCCUCCAGGGUGAACUACUCCCUCCUCGUCAUGGAUAGCCGGGAUGAUGAAGAUGGCCACCGGUGAUGGAUUCCCCCUCCGGCAGGGUGCCGGGACGGGCUCCCGAGAGGUUUUUGGUGGCUACAGAGGCUUGCGACGGUGGAACUCCCGAUCUAUCUUGAUAUUCGAUGUUUUUAGGGUACGUGGACUUAUAUAGGCGAAAGAAGUCGAUCGGGGGGUGCUCGAGGGGCCCACGAGACAGGGGGGUGCGCCCAGUAGGGGGGGCGCCCUCUUAUCUCGUGGCCUCCUCGAGGCUCUUCUGACUUGAACUCCAAGUCUCCUGGGUGAUAUUCUUCCCAAAAAUCACGCCGCCGAAGGUUUCAUUCCGUUUGGACUCCGUUUGAUAUUCCUUUUCUUCGAAAUACUGAAACAGGCAAUAAAACAACAAUAUGGGCUGGGCCUCCGGUUAAUAGAUUAGUCCCAAAAGUAAUAUAAAAGUGUAAAAUAAAGCCCGUAAUCAUUCAAAACAGAUAAUAAAAUAGCAUGAAUUCUUCAUAAAUUAUAGAUACGUUGGAGACGUAUCACUAGGUGACAGACCUAUUGCAGGAGCAGAUGCAGGCGUUAUGAACAUUUGGCUAGCUCAAUAUGAUGACUACUUGACAGUUUAGUGCACCAUGCUUAAUGGCUUAGAAUCGGGACUUCAAAGACGUUUUGAACGUCAUGGACCAUAUGAGAUGUUCCAAGAGUUGAAGUUAAUAUUUCAAGCAAAUACCCGAGUUGAGAGAUAUGAAUUCUCCAACAAGUUCUAUAGCUAAAAGAUGGAGGAGAAUUGCUCAACUAGUGAGCAUGUGCUCAGAUUGUCUGGGUACUACAAUCACUUGAAUCAAGUGGGAGUUAAUCUUCCAGAUAAGAUAGUGAUUGACAGAGUUCUCUAGUCACCAUCAUCAAGUUACUGGAACUUCAUGAUGAACUAUAGUAUGCAAGGGAUGACGAAAAACUUUCCCGAGCUUUUCAUGAUGAUGAAAUUGAUGAAGGUAGAAAUCAAGAAAGAUCAUCAAGUGUUGAUGUUAACAAGACCACUAGUUUCAAGAAAAGGGCAAAGGGAAAGAAAGGGAACUUCAUGUAGAAUGGCAAGCAAGUUGUCACUCCCAUGAAGAAGCCCAAAGCUGGACCAAAGCCUAAAACUGAGUGCUUCUACUUCAAAAGAAAUGGUCACUGGAAGCAGAAAUGCCUUGAAUAUUUGGUGGAUAAGAAGGAUGGCAAAGUGAACAAGGGUAUAUUUGAUAUAUAGGUUAUUGAUGUGUACCUUACUAGUGUUUAUAGUACCCCUGGGUAUUUGAUAUUUGUUCGGUUGCUAAUAAUUAGUAACUCGAAACAGGAGUUAUAGAAUAAGCAGAGACUAGUUGAGGGUGAAGUGAAGAUGUGUGUUGGAAGUGGUUCCAAGAUUGAUAUGAUCAUCAUCGCACACUCCCUAUACUUUCGGGAUUAGUGUUAAACCUAAAUAAAUGUUAUUUGGCGUUUGCGUUGAGCAUGAAUAUGAUUUGAUCAUGUUUAUUGCAAUACGGUUAUUCAUUCAAAGUCAGAGAAUAAUUGUUGUUCUGUUUACAUGAAUAAAACCUUCGAUGGUCAUACACCUAAUGAAAAUAGUUUGUUGGAUCUCGAUCGUAGUGAUACACAUAUUCAUAAUAUUGAUGCCAAAAGAUGCAAAGUUGAUAAUGAUAGUGCAACUUAUUUGUGGCACUGCCGUUUGGAUCAUAUCGGUGUAAAGCGCAUGAAGAAACUCCAUAAAGAUGGACUUUUGGAAUCACUUGGUUAUGAAUCAUUUGAUGCUUGCGAACCGUGCCUUUUGGGCAAGAUGACUAAAACUCCGUUCUCCGGAACAGUGGAACGAGCUAUUGACUUGAUGGAAAUAAUACAUACUGAUGUAUGCGGUCCAAUGAGUGUUGAUGCUCGUGGUGGGUAUCGUUAUUUUCUGACGUUCACAGAUGAUUUGAGCAGAUAUGAGUAUAUCUACUUAAUGAAGCACAAGUCUGAAACAUUUGAAAAGUUCAAAGAAUUUCAGAGUGAAGUGGAGAAUCAUCGUAACAAGAAAAUAAAGUUUCUACAAUAUGAUCGUAGAGGAUAAUAUUUGAGUUACGAGUUUGGCCUUCAUUUAAAAACAAUGUGGAAUAGUUUCACAGCUCACGCCACAUGGUGUGUCCGAACGUCGUAACCGCACUUUAUUGGAUAUGGUGUGAUCUAUGAUGUAUCUUACCAAUUUACCACUAUCGUUUUGGGGUUAUGCAUUAGAGACAGCUGCAUUCACUUUAAAUAGGGCACCAUCAAAAUCCGUUGAGACGAUGCCUUAUGAACUGUGGUUUGGCAAGAAACCAAAGUUGUCGUUUCUUAAAGUUUGGGGCUGCGAUGCUUAUGUGAAAAAGUUUCAACCUGAUAAGCUUGAACCCAAAUCGGAGAAGUGCGUCUUCGUAGAAUACCCAAAGAAAACUGUUGGGUACACCUUCUAUCACAGUUCCGAACGCAAGAUAUUCGUUGCUAAAAUGGAUCCUUUCUAGAGAAGGAGUUUCUCUCGAAAUAAGUGAGUGGGAGGAAAGUAGAACUUGAUAAGGUAAUCGUCAGAUUUCGGGUUUCAGCAGACCCUUUAGGUUCGAACACUGGGGUGCGCGUGGAGAUCUCGCCCUCUACCUACCUGCACCUCGCCGCCUUGCUAGGAUCUAAGCUAUGAGCAAAGCAACACAAGGGACACAGAGUUUAUACUAGUUCGGGCCACCAUUGUGGUGUAAUACCCUACUCUAGUUUGUGGAGUGGUGGAUUGCCUCUUGGGCUGAUGAUGAACAAUACAAGGAAGAACAGCCUCACGAGUGUCUGUUCUUGGCUGGUGCGAUGAACUACUAGGGGGAGUUCAGUCGCUCUUUCUACUGGUUUCCUGGCGAUGAUCUGAUGCCUCUACCUUGUGGUGGCUAGUCCUAUUUAUAGGCAAAGGCCCUGGGCCUCUUCCCAAAUAUUGAGCGGGAAGGGCGCCAACAAUUGGCUAUUUUGAAGGGGAACAUCUAGUACACUUAUCCUGACUAAAGUUGGUCCUCGCCUGUCAAAGGCUCUGACGAUGACGCCUUCCUGGGCUCCACGAUGACUUCCUUCCUGCCGUUGCGAUGGUCUUGGUCUUGUUGCACCGAAAUGGAUGCCUUUGCUUGAUGCUCUCGCCUACGCUUGCUCCCUUUGCACCAAAGAGGAAAGGGAGGACACUGCGUGGGCUGGCGCCCGCCUGGCGCCCUUGGCCGUCAUGGCUUGUGUCAUGGGCACCUCGUGAGGUACCCCGCCUUGAUCUCUCCGCCUCCUCGCGAGCCAGCCUGACGAGGCCGUGCCUGAGGAAGCUUCCUGUCGUCCACCCCGCGAGGCUCGGCCCCUCGCGAGGGUCUUGAGCUUGCGCUGAUGAAGAUGGGCCAUGCUGGGCCGCCCCUUGAGCCAUGCCACAGGCCGCAGGCAGGCAAGUCUGGGGACCCCCGUUCCCAGAACACCGACAGUAAUUGUACCUUCUCCCGAAUUAGAAAGUAGUUCAUCACAGAAAUCAGUUCCAGUGAUUCCUACACCAAUUAGUGAGGAAGCUAAUGAUAUUGAUCAUGAAACUUCAGAUCAAGUUAAUACCGAACCUCGUAGGUCAACCAGAGUAAGAUCCGCACCAGAGUGGUACGGUAAUCCUAUUCUGGAGGUCAUGUUACUUGACCAUGGCGAACCUACGAACUAUGAGGAAGCGACGAUGAGCCCAGAUUCCGCAAAAUGGCUUGAGGCAAUGAAAUCUGAGAUGGGAUCCAUGUAUGAGAACAAAGUGUGGACUUUGAUGGACUUGCCCGACGAGCGGCAAGCCAUAGAAAAUAAAUGGAUCUUCAAGAGGAAGACAGAUGCUGAUGGUAGUGUUACUAUCUACAAAGCUCGACUUGUCGCAAAAAGUUUUUUAACAAGUUCAAGGUGUUGAAUACGAUGAGAUUUUCUCACUCGUAUCGAUGCUUAAGACUGUCCGAAUCAUGUUAGCAAUUGCCGCAUUUUAUGAUUAUGAAAUUUGGCAAAUGGAUGUCAAAAACUGCAUUCCUGAAUGGAUUUCUGGAAGAAGAGUUGUAUAUGAUGCAACCAGAAGGUUUUGUCGAUCCGAAAGGUGCUAACAAAGUGUGCAAGCUCCAGCGAUCCAUUUAUGGACUGGUGCAAGCCUCUCGGAGUUGGAAUAAAUGCUUUGAUAGUGUGAUCAAAGCAUAUGGUUUUAUACAGACUUUUGAAGAAGCCUAUAUUUACAAGAAAGUGAGUGGGAGCUCUGUAGCAUUUCUAAUAUUAUAUGUGGACGACAUAUUAUUGAUUGGAAAUGAUAUAGAAUUUCUGGAUAGCAUAAAAGGAUACUUGAAUAAAAGUUUUUCAAUGAAAUACCUCGGUGAAGCUGCUUAUAUAUUGGGCAUCAAGAUCUAUAGAGAUAGAUCAAGACGCUUAAUUGGACUUUCACAAAGCACUUACCUUGAUAAAGUUUUGAAUAAGUUCAAAAUGGAUCAAGCAAAGAAAGGAUUCCUGCCUGUGUUACAAGGUGUGAAGUUGAGUAAGACUCAAAACCCGACCAUGGCAGAAAAUAGAAAGAGAAUGAAAAGUCAUUCCCUAUGCCUCAGUCAUAGGUUCUAUAAAGUAUGCUAUGUUGUGUACCAAACCUAUUGUAUACCUUGUUCUAAGUUUGGAAAGGGAGUACAAUUUUGAUCUAGGAGUAGAUCACUGGACAACGGUCAAGAAUAUCCUUAGUGAGGACUAAGGAAAUGUUUCUCGAUUAUGAAAGUGAUAAAAGAGUUCGUUGUAAAUAGUUACAUCAGUGCAAGCUUUUACACCAAUCCAGAUGACUCUAAGUCUCAAUCUGGAUACAUAUUGAAAGUGGGAGCAAUUAGCUAGAGUAGCUCCGUGCAGAGCAUUGUAGAGAUAGAAUAUUUACAAAAUAAUACGGCUCUGAAUGUGACAGACCCGUUGACUAAACUUCUCUCACGAGGAAAACAUGAUCAUACCUUAGUACUCUUUGGGUGUUAAUCACAUAGCAAUUUGAACUAGAUUAUUGACUCUAGUAAACCCUUCGGGUGUUGGUCACAUGAUGAUGUGAACUGUGGGUGUUAAUCACAUACAGAUGUGAAUAUUGGUAUUAAAUCACAUGGUGAUGUGAACUAGAUUAUUGACUCUAGUGCAAGUGGGAGACUGAAGGCCCUAGAGGCAAUAAUAAAGUUAUUAUUUAUUUCCUUAUUUCAUGAUAAAUGUUUAUUAUUCAUGCUAGAAUUGUAUUAACCGGAAACUUAGUACAUGUGUGAAUACAUAGACAAACAUAAUGUCACUAGUAUGCCUCUACUUGACUAGCUCGUUGAAUCAAAGAUGGUUGUGUUUCCUAACUAUAGACAUGAGUUGUCAUUUGAUUAACGAGAUCACAUCAUUAGAGAAUGAUGUGAUUGACUUGACCCAUUUCGUUAGCUUAGCACUUGAUCGUUUAGUAUGUUGCUAUUGCUUUCUUCAUGACUUAUACAUGUUCCUAUGACUAUGAUAUUAUGCAACUCCCGUUUACCGGAGGAACACUUUGUGUGCUACCAAAUGUCACAACGUAACUGGGUGAUUAUAAAGGUGCUCUACAGGUGUAUCCGAAGGUACUUGUUGAGUUGGCGUAUUUCGAGAUUAGGAUUUGUCACUCCGAUUGUCGGAGAGGUAUCUCUGGGCCCUCUCGGUAAUGCACAUCACUAUAAGCCUUGCAAGCAAUGUGACUAAUGAGUUAGUUGCGGGAUGAUACAUUACAUAACGAGUAAAGAGACUUGCCGGUAACGAGAUUGAACUAGGUAUUGAGAUACCGACGAUCGAAUCUCGGGCAAGUAACAUACCGAUGACAAAGGGAACAACGUAUGUUAUUAUGUGGUUUGAGCAAUAAAGAUCUUCAUAGAAUAUGCGGGAACCAAUAUGAGCAUCCAGGUUCCGCUAUUGGUUAUUGACUGGAGACGUGUCUCGGUCAUGUCUACAUAGUUCUCGAACCCAUAGGGUCCGCACGCUUAAAGUUCGGUGAUGAUUUAUAUUAUGAGUUAUGUGUUUUGAUGUACCGAAGGUAGUUCGGAGUCCCGGAUGAGAUCGGGGACAUGACGAGGAGUGUCAAAAUAGUCGAGACGUAAAGAUCGAUAUAUUGGACGACUAUAUUCGGACAUCGCAAAGGUCAUGAGUGAUUCGGGUAUUUAUCGCAGUACCGGAGAGUUAUGGGAAUUCGCCGGGGAGUAUAUGGGCCUUAUUGGGCUUUAAGGGAUAAAGAGAGAGAGAGAGAGAGGCAGGCCGCGCACCCCCCAAGGCCUAGUCCGAAUUGGACUAGGGGGAGGGGCUGCGCCCCCUCCUUCCUUCUCUUCUCUUUUCCAUUUCCUUGACUUUUACUCCUACUACAUGGAAGGGGGGGAUCCUACUCCCGGUGGGAGCAGGACUCCCCAGGGCGCGCCAUAGAGAGGGACAGCCCCUCCUCUCCUCUCCUCCUUUAUAUACCGAGGCUAGGGGCACCCCAUGUCACACAAGUUGAUCUAUUGAUCUCUCCCAGCCGUGUGCGGUGCCCCCUCCACCAUAUUCCACCUUGGUCAUAUCGUAGCGGUGCUUAGGAGAAGCCCUGCGUUGGUAGCAACAUCAUCAUCAUCAUCACGCCGUUGUGCUGACGGAACUCUCCCGUGAAGCUCUACUGGAUUGUUGUUCGCGGGACGUCAUCGAGCUGAACGUGUGCUGAACUCGGAGGUGCCGUACGUUCGAUAAUUGGAUCGGUCGGAUCGUGAAGACGUACGACUACAUCAACCGCGUUGUGCUAACGCUUCCGCUUUUGGUCUACGAGGGUACGUGGACUCACUCUCCCUGCUCGUUGCUAUGCAUCACCAUGAUCUUGCGUGUGCGUAGGAUUUUUUUGAAAUUACUACGUUUCCCAACACGCGGACAGGAGGACUGGAUUGACGGUGCUGGAGGGGAUAAGGUUUGGAAAGGCGGCAGAGGAGCGAGUGGCGACGGAGCUACGAGAAGGCUAGAGCGGAGGAGGUAAAAGUAAGGAGAGGAGCAAAGGGAAUCAGUAGGUUGGAGGGUGGAUUUGAUGCAAUUUAGAGCAGGAUAGGACUGUCGGGUCCGACAAGGCAGACGCGUUGAUGUCUACUACACAACCUUCUUCUUGUAGACGUUGUUGGGCCUGCAAGUGCACAGGUUUGUAGGACAGUAGCAAAUUUCUCUCAAGUGGAUGACCUAAGAUUUAUCAAUCCGUAGGAGGCGUAGGAUGAAGAUGGUCUCUCUCAAACAACCCUGCAACCAAAUAAAAAAGAGUCUCUUGUGUCCCCAACACACCCAAUACAAUGGUAAAUUGUAUAGGUGCACUAGUUCGGCGAAGAGAUGGUGAUACAAGUGCAAUAUGGAUGGUAGAUAAAAGUAUUUGUAAUCUGAAAUUAUAAAAACAUCAAGGUAACUAAUGAUAAAAGUGAGCACAAACGAUAUUGCAAUGAUAGGAAACAAGGCCUAAGGUUCAUACUUUCACUAGUGCAAGUUCUCUCAACAAUAAUAACAUAGAUAGAUAAUAUAACAAUCCCUCAACAUGCAACAAGGAGUCACUCCAAAGCCACUAAUAGCGGAGAAGAAACGAAGAGAUUAUGGUAGGGUACGAAACCACCUCAAAGUUAUCCUUUUUGAUCUAUCUAUUCAAUUCAAGAGCUCGUAGUAAAAUAACAUAAAGCUAUUCUUUCCGCUCAAUCCAUCAUAGAGUUCAUACUAGAAUAACACCUUAAGACACAAAUCAACCAAAACCCUAAUGUCACCUAGAUACUCCAUUGUCACCUUAAGUAUCCGUGGGCAUGAUUAUAAGAUAUGCAUCACACAAUUUCAUAUUCAUCCAACCGACAUAAAGUACUUCAAAGAGUGCCCCAAAGUUUCUACCGGAGAGUCAAGAAAACGUGUGCCAACCCCUAUGCAUAGCUUCAUGAGCGGAACCCGCAAAGUUGGUCACCAAAACAUACAUCAAGUGGCACGUGAUAUCCCAUUGUCACCACAGAUAAGCACAACAAGACAUACAUCAAGUGUUCUCAAAUAAAGACUCAAUCCGAUAAGAUAACUUCAAAGGGGAAACUCAAUCCAUUACAAGAGAGUAGAGGGGGAGAAACAUCAUAAGAUCCAACUAUAGUAUCAAAGCUCGGGAUACAUCAAGAUCGUGCCAUAGAGGGAACACGAGAGAGAGAGAGAGAGAGAGAGAGAGAGAGAGAUCAAACACAUAGCUACUGGUACAUACCCUCAGCCCCGAGGGUGAACUACUCCCUCCUCGUCAUGGAGAGCGCCGGGAUGAUGAAGAUGGCCACCGGUGAUGGGAUCCCCCUCCGGCAGGGUGCCGGAACGGGCUCCCGAGAGGUUUUUGUUGGCUACAAAGGCUUGCGGCGGCGGAUCUCCCGAUCUAUCUUGAUAUUCGAUGGUUUUAGGGUACGUAGACUUAUAUAGGCGAAAGAAGUCGGUCGGGAGGUGCUCGAGGGGCCCACGAGACAGGAGGGCGCGCCCAGUAGAGGGGGCGCGCCCUCCUAUCUCGUGGCCUCCUCGAGGCUCUUUUGACGUGAACUCCAAGUCUCCUGGGUGAUAUUCUUCCAAAAAAUCACGCUGCCGAAGGUUUCGUUCCGUUUGGACUCCGUUUGAUAUUCCUUUUCUUCGAAAUACUGAAACAGGCAAUAAAACAACAAUAUGAUCUGGGCCUCCGGUUAAUAGGUUAGUCCCAAAAAUGAUAUAAAAGUGUAAAGUAAAGCCCAUAAACAUCCAAAAGGGGUAAUAUAAUAGCAUGGAACAAUAAAAAAUUAUAGAUACGUUGGAGACGUAUCAGCGCUCAGGACUCCCCAUGUCCGCCCCAGAUUUGGGCUGGAUAUGAGAGGUGUCAGUCAACCAGGGCAUUGAGGCGCCUGUCCGGAUCAGUGUUUUUUUGACCGGUCACAUACUAGGUCGUCCGCCCGAGCGUUUGAGGGGAGGGGGUUGAGGCGUCCGACUGUAGGUGCUCUUAUGUCCUUACUAAAGAAAAUUUGUUGGUCGAUCGAUUCACAGUAUUGGAAUCCUUAGAAUAUUUCCUUAGGAAUCAUUUGCACUAUAUCUUAAAAAACUAUCCACUCAAACUUCUUUAUAGAAUUUCUUUGUUUUUUUUGCAUUCAUCCAGUUUCUUGUAGUUUUCUUCUACUAUAUAAUUCAAGAACACAUGCACUUAAAUCCUUUUUUUCUUCUUAUUUAUGUGUUUUGAGAAUUACGUGGAUUAAAGAGGCCUGAUGUCACUUCUGGUGGUGCCUUACGCAGCCACUUCACCCCCAUAGAAAUUGGGGUUCCUUUAGCUCCCUCUGGCGCUGUCGCCGGUCCGCCUUAUCUUCGGUGGCCUUACGGUCAUGGGGCACGGUGAAUCAUGACCCUUGCCGGUGGGAGGGCUUUGUUUUUAGAUGUUUCUUUGAGUUUUGUCAGAGUUUGUAGCCUGCUUAGGAAGGCGAAAUGACGACAGCUCCCUGGAGAUGUAAUAAGGUUCUCCCUGCAUGGUCCCGUCCUGAUGAUGCGUCUAGCAUCAUUGGUGGGCGUGUGGAGGUGUGUCUCAUGUAGAUUUGUCUUUGGUGGAUUUGCUCGGAUCUGGUUAUCGUCCGUCUACGUUUGUGUGUUUUUAGUUUGGAUCCUUCCGAUCUAUAUUAUUCUUCAUCGGCAUCUGCUGUUUUAUGGUGCGUUGGUCCUAUGGGGACUUAGCAUGACAAUUUUUCGACUGUCUACUACAACAAGUUUUGACCGGCACCGACCGGGGGAGGGGGAGGGGGCGAUGAUGGGCUCGCUUUAGUGCUUGUAUUUGUCGCUAGAUGGUGUACGGAUCUGGAUGUAUUUUUUAUUGUUUUCGGUCUUUGUUGUACUGCCAUAAUUGAAGAUUAACAGGUCGGAAGUUUUUCUGCAAAAAAAAGGCUUGAUGUCGCCAACAAUAUAGGGUUGACAAAUCUUCUUGUGCAAAAGUGGAUGACCUUCUUAUACGAACUAGUAAAUUUGUACGUGCGAAGCACGUUGAUUUUAGAGAACAUAUUAAUUGCACGUGAAUAUUAGAUAAGAUAUUAUUUGCGUGUAAAUUAUAUAAUUAGCAGUGUAAUUGAUAUUUGAUAUGAUAUUAACUACCCGCUAAAUGUGUCUAGCGCUCAUCAUUGGAUCAACCUAAGUCGUUGGAUCGACCUGGAUUGAUGGUCGAGAUUUGUUGAAUCUGCACCCUUGGAUCUUUUACAUUGAUGUAUAGAUAUAUAACGGGAUUUAAUAAUGCGUAAAGGUGUCCAUCUACAAGACAAUAAUAGUGUGUUGGUUUCAGGGGAAUUAGAGAUGGGGAAUGGGAGUUUAGGGGUGAGGAGAUUAAAAGUCUACUAUUUGAUUAGAGGGAAUGGGAGUUUAAAUGGGAAGGGGAAGAGGAGUUUAAAUGGGAAGGGAAGUGGGUGUUUAAAUGGGAAUGAGAGUUGAGGAAGUCAAUUCCCACCAAUUUCAUCCGUAGGGUACCCUGUUAAUUCGUGAACAGAAUUUUAUCCCACGCCAAUUUCUAUCAUAUGUCAAACAAGGGAAUGGGAGUAAAAAUCUACUUUCCAUGCUUAAUCCCUUCAUAAACAUCCUUGUGCAAACUCACAUUCCCCUGCCGAGUGUUUACCAAACAGGCUGUAACAUCUCUUCUCACUGAAUGUGCAUCGCUGAAAAUCUUGAAAUAAAUUCAAAAUAAAUGUGAGCAUCAGGGCUUGAACCUUGAUGGGUUGGAAUAUCACUGUCCUUCUAACCAUUCAAUUACAGCUUGAUUCGCAACAAAAAAACAAUUUGGGGAUAAAAGAAUGUGCUAUCUUGGGCCAGACCUUGAAACAUCUAUAACGUUUGGAAUAGUAGAUUUUUUGCUUAUAGGACCACGUACGAUGAUGCAUGUUAUUACAGGAGUGUCAUAUAGAAUAAAUGAUAAGACAAAAAAGAUUAUUUUUCUCUUAGUUAAGAGAUGAUCUCUUAAGAACAAUAUAACACAACACAUAUUUAGAUAUCCUAAUUAUAAGCGAAAGGACUAAAGUUUAAUUAAAUUUCACGUUUUUAUUGUCUUUUUAUUUUGAGAAACACAUGUAACUUUAUUCAUAUCUUCUAUAUCUAAAUAGCUUAGCCCGCACUAACCUAUUUCUCUCAACAUGCAAGCAUACCACCUCAUUACAUAAUAUGCGUGGGAAAAAGGCCCACCUCCAUCAACUUAUUCUUUCAACAUGCAAGCAUGCCACAUUAUUAAGCAACAUGUAUAGAUAAAGACUCACCUCAACAUGCAAACAUACUUGAGAAUUUUCAUUUCAUUAUGUUAUUUAUAUUUAAUAAAUAUUUUACAACUGAAUCAAACACAAUAAUUAAUAUGUAUUAUCAAAUUUAGCUCUUAUAUAUGUUUUAUUACUGAAAAUAUUCAUGUUUCAUGUGGUGAAUCUACUACCACUAUAAAAGAGAGAGGGUGGAAAACCAGACAAUCCUAUCCAUCGAAACCUGCGAUCUAAUGGUCUACAUCACUCCAGCAUACUAAACAUGUUUUACACUUAAAUUACCCACCAAUGCCAUUACUUAAUUAUUUACUGAUCAUUGCCAUUAGAUUAAAAUCGAUCCCGACCACGUCGCUUCCCUCUCGCAACAAGCACCACCCCACGUCGCUCCCCCGACCCCCCACCCCUCGCCCGCCCUCUUGCUGCUGUAGCCGCGCCGGAGAACCGCCGUGCGCCACGCCCCGCCGCGCCGUCCGGAGAACCGCAGCGCGCCGUGCCUCCCUCCCGCGCCACGCCCCGCCGCGCCGUCCGGACCCGCGCCGCCGCGCCGGCCACCGCCUCGACCGCCGGGACCGCCGCGCCCGACCGGGCCGCCGCGCCUCCCGCGCGCCAGCGGCCCCUCGCCGCGCCGUCCGCACCAGCUUUGGCAGUCUUCCAACCCUUUGUCAAUCUUCCAGCUUUGGCCGUCCGCGCCAGGUCAGUCUUCCAACCCUUGGUCAGCCAUCCGUUCCUCCAGUUCCUGCUUGUAAUGUGUAGUAUAUCCUUUGAUAAGGGUUACAGCGAGGGCGAUUUCAGUGUAUACUGCCAUAUUGAUAAUAGUGAGGUUGAUAAUAAGGUUGAUUUCAGUUCCUGCCCCCCUUCAACUUGAUUGAUAAUACUGCCAUACAAUCUGAACCAUGCAAAUUCAGUGUAUGUGUUGUCCAAUUUUCAGUGUUCUGUUGUCUAAAUAUUCAGUUUUGGUGUUAUCCAAAUUUCAGUGCAUAUGCAGUCUAAAUUUUAGUUUAUAUUUCAGUGCAUAUGCAGUCUAAAUUUUAGUUUAUAUGCUGUCCAAAUUUCAGUGUACUUCCCCUGCUAAAUUCAGUGUAUGCUCCAGCCGUGCCUCCCGCGCUGCAGCGCCGUCCGCACCAGCGCCGCCGCGUCGUUCGCUUUCUUUUCUUGCACUCGCGAACCCGAUAUAAUAAGGCAUCCAAAAAACUCUAGCAUGUAAUUGACCACUGUUCAUCCGAGCCAUGGCUCGUUUUGAAUGCAUAAGGUAGAAAUCGGCCUACCUUUUACUUAAGAAAAAAAGAUUUUCCAAUGCAACCUCCCUAGCUUUAACUGUGAUGUGGCCAUUCUGUUCAAGUUGUGCUACGAGUUGGCUCUUUUGGCUGAAUUCAUUAGAUGCUUCACUUGAAGGAAGGGCGUAUGCUUUGUGCCCUUGUUUGUAUUUGGUUUUCUGCAUAUUGCCUGACGUUCUAUAACUAUCUUCAGGAGGAUCUUUGGCUGUCGGCUUUUCCUAUAGGGACAGAGGUUUGUGCGCAUUCAUGUUUUUGUUUUCAAUCACACGCAAACAUGCAUAAUACUUCCCUGUCAUACACAUUUGGCCUUACUUUUAAUGCUGGUUUCAUCUGCAGUGGGAAAAUAUUGAUAAGAUUAAGGAGUUCAACUGGAACUUUGAAAAUUUAGAGGUAUGAUGAAUAUAUAAUCUUCAAAUUUCCCCUUAAAUAUGAUGUUUCCUUGCAUUGUAAUACAUUCUUUAUUUUUGGUGAACAGAAAGCUCUAGAAGAAGGGGGGGAAGCUGUAUGGGAAUACGGUCUAUGUAUUUGGCAGCACUGAGCGUAAGUAGUAUUUUAGCACUGGCUGGCUGACGGUCUAUGUAGCUCUAUAUUAUCCUUUAGAGCUAUUUGACAACACUUUAUUAGUACUGAAAAAUUCCCUGAGCAUCCCUGUAGAUUACAUGGAUUUAUAUAAUUUGUCUAAUGGGUUUAUUUCUGUUGCUAUGCAGCUCAACUGUUGAAUGUUGAUGGUGAAUCAAAGAUAGUGCUUAUUCCAGUUGUAGUUGCGGUCAGUUUCCUUCCAUUCCUUUUACCUGAUAAUUUAUCUCCUCAUUUUCUUUGGUAUUCUAUUUUAUAUGCAAAUUCGUCGAUGCGAGACUUGGACCAUGAAUUUCCUUCAGUUGCUUAUUUUGUAGUAGUAUACUCCUUUGUGACAAUCAAGAAUAUGCUAGCCGUAUUGCCAGCAUUAUAUGUAUAUACUCCAUAUGGUAGUAUAUACUCUGAGAAUUGGUGUAUAUACCUUAUUUGUAAAAUAGUAUGUAUAUACUUCUUGCUAACUACUCUGUAUUAUCAUGGUGGGUUAAAUAGUUUUUGGUCUUCUAACUCUCUAGGAUAAUUAGCAUCUUUGUGAGCCUUUUUCAGAUUAAAAUAACCUAUUGAUUUGAUCAAUAGAAUAGAUCUCUCUUUUUAAAUAGUGGUAGUUUCUCCAAAGUUCUACUAAUUUAAUUCAUUAUUUUGGUAUCCAGAUCCAAUAGCCUUGCUGUUUAUAUCUUCUUCUAAUAAAUCAAUUUACAGUGCCACAGUUAAAUAAGAUGCAAAUUCAUGUAUUGCUCGAAUUUCAAUCCUGCACUUUAUCUAUGUUGCUUGCUCUGAACUCUGUAAAAGGUACAUUGCACAUGCUGUUCACCUCUUUCUGUACUUUGUUGGUUCUUCUUAACAUUUGUGUUUUUCCUAUAAGAUGGCGAAGAGUAAUCCAGACAAAGUUCCACGAACGACUACGCAUCGUUCCCCAUUUACAGACAUAACGAACUCGUCUACCAUUGAUAACGCAAAUGUCACUACUAAUAGCCAGGGACUAUUUUGAAUAUUUACAUGUAAAGUAUCCAUCCUUUUUUCUGUAUACCUUUCGUGUUUUUUCUUCUAACAUCAGCACUUCAGCAGAAGAUGUCGUAAACCGUGUAAUGUGGCAACACCAAGAAGGCCACCAUCAAGGCGAAGCUGCAAACAUGCAGAGCAGGUCUUGACUCCAGACCUAUUUGUCAUUCAUUCACAGAGGCAAUAAAUAUUAUCUUAGUAAUUUGAGAUUUUCAAAUAUGAUGCCUCAAUUUAUAAGUUUGUUGCAUGUAACAUCCUUUUUUAUUUAAAAAGUUUGGCUUGGCUUCUCAUUAUGGUUUUGGUGCUUAUAUUAUUCUUACACAAGCCAGUUUCACCUGAAUUUAUCAUACAACCUAGAAUUAAUUAGAGCCCUGUUCUUGAUCCUUACUUAAUGCAACUGAAAAAAAAGGUUCUGCUGUGUGUUCACAUUAAUUCAGAAAUUGUAUGUAUCAAUCGACUGCAUCCGAUGUUGUGCUUCUCAUGUUCCCUUGAAAGGAUUGCUGGAUGGAAAGAUGUUUUUGCUUUCAGGAUUUCUGGUGUGUGUACGACCCUCUAAAUAACUCUCUUUCAUCUCAUGCAGCAGCAGAGGCUUAGAGGAAGGCGCUGCAGCGUGGAUGCACAUGGGAUGUUGCAGGUUAAAGUCCUUUUAGUUUGUUGAUAAUUUCUCUGAUGUAGAUUGGAAGUUAUAUAUUAAGAAAUAGAUUUUAAUGUGUAUAUGGUGUGGAUUCCAAAACUAAUCUGCCUGUACUGAAAAGUUCCCUUGUACUAGAAUUUUCCUGAAGCUAAUGGAAUUACCUUGUGCUUGCAUGAUGACUAUUUUUUCAAGAUACAUGUAACAAAGAGGAGGAGCUCAGGGAGCUGAGUGUGAAAGGAUAAAGGAGUCAGGAAGGAGAAAUCAUAUGUUGGCUUAAUUAAUGCUUCCUAAUCAGUAUGCUUUCCAUAUUGCCGUUUAUUGAACUAAUAUAGUUUGCUUUUGAUUAAGGAUCUUGACAUGGCAUGCCGUUUUUGAUUUUCUGUAGCUUUUGUUGAUCUUCUCCUUGUUCGGCUUAAAUUUCUCAUUGUUUUUCCUAUUCCUUUGCAGGAACAUGAACCUGAUGAUGACCCAUAGGUGGAUGUCUGUGAGAGGUACAUGUGUUAGCUCAUAAGCGUAUGAGAAUACAAUCAUGAUGUGUAUAAUUAUUCAGUUAUACUUUUUAUCCAUGCCUCAACAAUCGACCAAAUUAAACGACAGGAUGAACAUUCAGACUUUAUUGAUGACAGGGAUUCUAGGAAGACCAUUACAUACUCGACCAGCCCACCUGUCAUCGCAAGACAAGCUAAAAGUAAAGCAACAUAAAAAUUGUUAGCCUUCCCAAAGGCGAAUUUCUGCACAACAUUCUGGGAAUUCACCUAUUUGUAUCCGUACAUUUUCACCUUGACUAUAAGUGGAAAGGUUUGCUAUAUUUAUUUAACUAUCAUUCUGCCGUCGCUGACCAUCAUUAUUCGGCCGUAAUCCCGGCGUCCUCCUAGCAUCACCCUGCUGUGCCCCUGGCCAAUUGCCUAGAGAUGCCAUCCAAGCGCGUGUGGCUGCAAAAGUGCUUCAUAUGAUGAAAGAUGGUAUCAUUGACCCAGUGAAAAUGAUCCAAACUGUACUUCAAGGUGCAGCAAGGUACAACUUCAGUUCUCUAACCAUGUACUUUAUGUAUGACCAUGACAGAAGUAAUCAGAGUUGUUUGACUAUUUGUGCUUCUGUAGUUCUGUACAAUGUUUAUCCGCUGAUCACAACCAUAGAGGUUGCAGAUGAGCAAAAUGGGUUUUGAGGACAGUGCGGCAUUGUGUUUGCACUUGUUUUGAUAGAAUGGAAUGCAUGUCUCAUAUGACCAGUUCUAAGAAAUACAAGCAUAGUUUGAGGUAAACUAGCCAGAAAACUAAGGUUACUUUUAAGUAAGGAUAGGGCCAUGGAUUACAUGAUUGCUUUUCAAAACACAACAUCAGAUGUAGUUGAGCACACCGCUUCGGUUGGUGGAAGUUUGAACUUCGUAUUCAUAUUAAUCCAUGUAUAAGUUUACUGACGGUAAUUGUUUCAUCUGAUGGUACUGCUAUUGUGUCACAAAGAACAAGUACUCUGAUGAUGCCUCACAAAGAAAAAGUUCUUACGACAAUAAACUGAUGUUGACUAUUGUUGGGGGAGGUGAGGAUGCCGAUGAAAAGAGAAGAGUUUGUCUUCUGUCCGAUAGGAUUUGGUUGUAAAUCUUUGUUCAUUACUUCAGGUGUGCAUUGAGCGUACAUGAUCUGCUCAAAAAAACAAAUUGAUUGGCAAGUUUUGAUUAUAUCUAAAGAAGGACAUGGGCAAUGCUCGAUUGGCAAGUUUGGAUUAUAUCUAAAGAUCGACAUGGACAAUGCUCGAUUGACAAAUUUUGAUUUUUUUUUCUUGCUAGAAAUGAUACCAACACAAGUGCUUAGCAUGAUAAAUAUGUUCGCCUAUAUUCUGAGUGGAAGUUAGAUGGAUUUUUUGGGUACAUUAGUCGACCUCUCAGUUGAUAUUUUAUAUUACUAGUUAAUUGUCUGCAACGGGGCCAUAAAUAUUUGUACACGCACAAUUUUUAUUUGAGAGCCGCAUAUGUUCUUUUGUUGAUUCUAUUUAAAUAUAAAUAUUUCUUUAGAGCGGUCGUUCCCCUACUCCAUGGAUCUGUGGCACUCAAAGGAGUUGAUUGAAAUGAUGGCGUGAAACAUAAAAAAGACUCCGGAAAGUAGGGCUUGUGAGAAAAUAAUCAGAUUACAAGGACCUGGAUAAAUGUUGAACGUUCGGAUUCUAAGCAUGUCAUCCCGAAAUGUUUUUAUGGCAACUUUAUUGACGCGAGGUGGCAACUUUACUUGCUAAAAAAAUGGCAAAUUUAUCUUCAUUUAGUUUUUUUGUCAGAAAAUUGUUAUGUUUGCCAAUCUCGCUUGAACUAAAAUUAUCAUGAAAACAUUCAGGUUGCUAUGCGCAAAAAUUCGAGCGUUCUGGAUUUAUCAUUUUCGUACAAGAAUGGAUGAAUAGUGCUUGUACCUAAGUACUUGAAUAUGUUCUUUAAGAUUCAUAUAAAUAAGAAGGCUAUGGCUUCAAAUAAGAACGCAAUAACUUUUUAGGUGAAAAAUGGAUCUUACCAGCACAACAAUUCAUUUGAAAUAGUUAUUUACUACUACUAUAAGAUUACCCAUUUACAUACACAUAUAAAUUUUCACAUAAUAAUCGUAAGUCGAGACGUGCGUUGCACGUGCAUGCUUACUAGUCUCAUUGAAAAUGUUGUAAAAUACUCCCGCAACAACGUACGGGGUAUCAUCUAGUACUGAUAACAAUAGGACACUGAAUUGGACCUAAGAUCUAAGAAAACACAAAGUAACUCCUAUGAUUAAGAAUUACAAUGCAAUCUCUUGAAAACACCUUUUUUGCGGUAUCAGUCUCUGCUUGAGAAAAUACUCCAAAAACUUCGGUAAAAAUGUUGUAAUUGGAUCGAAGCAACGAUGUUUUCACCCUUUCAUCCACACGAACAUUAAAAAUAACCAUAAGCCACGUGUCGAGCACCGAAAAAUGCAUCGGCAUUGAAUGGACAGUGAAGGCUACGUUCAGAUGGUUCUUAUGUCGAGGAUGGAUCGGCGGGCGCUGGUAUGGUGUUAAGAGAUGACAAGGGUGCUAUCAUUUUCUCUUCGUGCAGACAACUCUUUUUUUGUCGAGAUGCGCUUAAAACUGAAUUAUAUAUGUACAUGCAUGGAAGGACUAUCGUUCGCCAUUCAAAGAAGCGACUUGCCAAUAAGGAUCGAGAUGGAUUCACUUAUUGCUGUGAAACUGAUCCAAGCUAAGGACGUUGAUAAACCGAUCUACUCAUCGCUCACUAUGGAGAUUAGAUAUCUUAUGUCUUUUCAUGAAAUAUGUAUUACUUAUAUAAGUUGUAACUAAAAUAAAGUUAGCGAUAGCAUAGCAAAUUUGCUCGUUUAGGGGCAAGAAUCAUGACUUGGCUUGGUUCCGGUCCUCAUGUUGCUAUCGACCUUGCUGGGAUCGACUGUAAAGACCUUUUGAUUUGAGUAAUGCAUGUUUUUCAAAAAAAAAAAAAAGAAUGGACGGUGAAGUCGACCGUACACAGGGUCGACAAAAAUAUCCUAAAUCGACAGCAACCAUGGCGGGAAGUCGGCAAGAGCAAGACCCUCUGUACCGACGCGUGUGCCGACCAUGAUAGCUCCUCUAGACUAUGUCGCACCGACGCGUGCACAGAGGGACCACUGACACAUCGGUCCCACGCGACAGAGGCUCCCGCCUCCCUGGUAAACCGCAGCCCCGCUACGCACACGCGGCAAAGCUACACCGGAACCGCAUUCGCAGCGCGCUUUCGUCGCCGCCAGCACCACCACGCCUCCUCAACCUCCCAUGGUGGUUGCCCCCCGAGCCGCACGCCCCAACCACCCCUAACCCUAGAUCCCGCCACACUCACCCCCGCACACGCACACGCACUCUCACUCUCCCACUCGGCCUGCUUGUCACUAUGGAGGCCGGGAGCAGCAAGGCCAGGCUGGCGGUGGCGUGCGCGAUCGGCGGGAUCGUGCUGGGCGCGGCCGUCGUGGCGCUCCACGUCGCCGGGCCCGUGGCCGUCCCGGGGCUGCCCCCGCUCGACGCGCUGCGCCGCCGGUUCCACCGCCGCCGCCGCCCCGUGCGCGUCUACAUGGACGGCUGCUUCGACAUGAUGCACUACGGCCACUGCAACGCGCUGCGCCAGGCGCGCGCGCUCGGCGACCAGCUCGUCGUCGGCGUCGUCAGCGACGACGAGAUCACCGCCAACAAGGGACCGCCCGUCACGCCGCUCAACGAGAGGUGGGUCGUUAAUUACCCCAUCCCUUUAUGUAGCGGCUGUCGCCUUUUUAACUCACACACGUGGUGAGGUGUUCUCACGCGUCCGCACAGCUUGCUCCAGCAUUUCAUUACGUUUUUUGUUUUGUAUUUUAAGUUUUUAACCCCUGGCCAAGUAGAUGCUACGAUGUCAACGCUUGAGCUAUGUUUGCCUAGAUGUUGCUGGAGAAACAAUUGCUGCACGGCACGAGAGAUUUGAAUUGUACAAUUUGUGUUCCAUUUAUGAUAUUAAAUGGAUUUAUGGGCAUUGGAUAGACUGUGAUAAUGCGCUAAAUAUCCGAAUCUUAAAUGUGUGUGCAAAUUAUGUAGCACUACUUUACUUACAUUUUUUCCACCUCCCAUUAAUUAUCCUAUAAACUCUCAUGUAACUAACGCUGUGGGUAGUAAGAAUCUGCAAUUUGUUAUUUCUAAUCUUUCCUUUUCUGUGUAAUACAGAAUGGUGAUGGUGGGCGCAGUGAAAUGGGUGGAUGAUGUCAUUCCAGAUGCGCCAUAUGCCAUAACUGAAGACUUCAUGAACAAGCUAUUCACUGAGUAUAAUAUAGAUUACAUCAUCCAUGGCGAUGAUCCUUGUCUACUCCCAGAUGGCACCGAUGCAUAUGCCCUUGCCAAAAAUGCUGGCAGAUAUAAGCAGAUUAAAAGAACUGAGGGAGUGUCAACAACAGACAUUGUCGGUAUGGACUCUGCUUUUGUUUUCUGUUUCUGUAUCUACUGUUAACGUUUGCUUUACCAUAACAAAAUCAAUUAUCUUUGAGAACCAAAUCUUAUAGUGAUCUCCAAUAUUGCAAUUGAUUCUUGAUCAACUAGAGACCUAUUUGUUCAUGAGACUAUCAUUCACUAGAUUUUCUUUCUCGAUUUCUUGUGGUGCUCCACUUUUAUAAAGCACUCGAAAUAGUGCCAUAUUAUUAAGAGCACAAGGAAGGAACAAUCGAAUAAGUUGUCGCCAAGAGUCACCCCUUUCUUGUUCCGGGCAUCAGAUCCAACAUAAAGUUGCUGCUAUGUGAUUAUUCUAUUUACUGGCCAGGAUGCUAUGGUCGCAUGGAAUACACAUUUAUCUUGAAUUUUGGGAACCGGUGAAUUGAUCAUCUAUAGUAAAGAAACUGCUUGUGGCAGCGAAAAUAUUUAUUCUCACUGUGAAAUCAUCUUUUUUCAUUGCAGGAAGAAUGCUUCUUUGUGUUAGAGAGAGAUCAGUUUCUGAUAGGCACAACCACUCUUCACUACAGAGGCAGUUCAGUUCUGGGCAUGGUCAGAAGAUUGAUGAUAGUGGGUCUGGAAGUGGAACUAGAAUAUCUCAUUUUCUUCCUACAUCUCGGCGGAUAGUUCAGUUCUCAAAUAGCAGGGUAUAACUUUCUCAUGAAUUGAAUAUUGUUUAUGUUCUUUGAUGAAUAUUCUACGAGGCACCACAGCAUGGUUUAGCAGUUGGCACCUAGUCUUGAUCUUAGAAGCAACUUCUAGGUAUCGCCAUCUAUAUUAGUCCCUCUGAAAACGACACUUUUUUCAUGGUGGGAUUGUGUGAGAGUGCUACCUUGAGUUCCUCUUGUAGUUCAAAUGCAUGUGCUAAAUAUCCGAUGACAGAUAUUUAACUUCCUGGAACGUCAGUUUUUUUGUAUGUUCAUGUAGUUAUUGGACAUAAUAAAGAUACAUUCUUCGGUGGGAGGGAGUACAGAGCGCCUGCUCUACUGUUAACUUGUGCCCUGUCGAUUAGUCGAUUGUGACCUAAUUGCGGAAGUGUGGCAGCAAUAGAUGAAUUGUUUAAUAGUACUUCGACAAGUUCAGAGGCAAUUGUCGCAUCCACAAUAAAAAAUCCAAUGCUUAAAGUAUCAGAAAAAACCCGUAUGUUUGUUAUUCAGUUAUCUAUUACAUGAGCAUACAGUGUAACUGUAUGUUUGUUUCAUUUCUGUAAAUGUGGUGAUAAUAAGUGCUUUUUAACUGAAUAAAACCGUUUCCCUCUUUCCAAACUUUUGCUACAGUUCAUUCUGUGUUGACUGUAAGCUUUACCAAUGUAGGGCCCAGGACCAGAUUCUCGGAUAGUUUACAUAGAUGGUGCAUUUGAUCUGUUCCAUGCUGGGCAUGUUGAGGUAAAUACAAGAAGGAAAACAUCAUCUGUCUCAGCAUUCAGCCGCACUUCCCAUAUUUGCAUGUUGGCUCUACUUCUAUUUUUUCUUCUUAUUGCAAGGAAGCAAUCAAGCAAACGGAACUUUCCUUUCCAAAUCAUAGCACUGCAAACUUUCUUUUGUAUUUAUAGUUUCUUCUACGUAGAUAUUGCGACUUGCUCGAGGGCUUGGAGAUUUCUUGCUUGUUGGUAUUCACACGGAUCAGACCAUAAGGUAAUAUACGAUGGUUGCUUCCUCUUUUAUUUUUCCAUUCCUUUAUGAGGUACAGUAUGUGUACGGUUUAUUCAAUUGUCCAAGUUUACAAUGUGCAUUUGUUUUGAAGCCUACCAUCUCUACUCAGUUCAUUCAACAUUAUAUUCAGUCUAGAUUUUGCUGUUGAUGUUUAUCAUAUUGGUUAGUUCUACACGAGGACCACAUCGCCCAAUCAUGAAUCUUCAUGAGCGAAGUUUGAGUGUCCUAGCCUGCCGUUAUGUUGAUGAAGUAAUCAUUGGUGCUCCAUGGGACAUUUCAAAAGACAUGGUGAGUUGUAAUUGUCUACUCUACUCUAAACCAUGACAUUAUCUUAUUGUAGUAUAAGAUGCUUGAUGUAUUCGUUAUACUAUUUCCUUGAACACUGCACUUAGGCUACUCAUUGAGUGCCCACACUCUGCUAAGGAUAAGAAACAUGUAUCCUAGUAUGUCGAGCUGUCUUUGUAAGGCUCGGUCAGUCUGCCUUCUCCUCAGCCUCACCUAUGCUGGGCUCUGCCUGAGCAGCUGUGCUUGGCCUACACACCGUGUCAGUGGCUUUGCUGCUGCGCCUGGUUGCGCUUCAAUGUGAUACUUGUCAUGAUUUGUGUUGAAGUAUUUAUUUGCUGAGAGUUGUUUUUUCUUCCAAAAUAGUCUUCUAGUUCUUUAAAGGAGGUAGAAACAUAGAAUAGGGAGGUGGGAGGGGUGAAUAAACCACCGUCAUUAUUGUAGCCACUGACACUGCUACCACCAACUCUACUGUUUGUAGUACCAAUUACUAAACAGAUACACACAUUGUAUAGAACAUGACACUUACGCUGUGCCAAUAAAACUCACAAUUCCACAUGAGGUAUUAAAUUUUGAUUUUAAUACGUGCUGGCUUGACUUGGUCCCAAGUUUUUUUUUCACAAGAUAGCAUAGUUAAAGUCAGUAGACAUUCUUUCUUUCUUGGCUUGGUCCCAAAGUUUAGUUAUGUCAGCUAGGUUUGAGGUAGAUAUAUGUGAGGACUGUGGAUUGAACCAAAUUAUUAAAAUUCAUGAGCUGCAAUUUUAGCUACAAAUAUCAGGUAUUUGUGGUUUCUGGGGGUUUAUGCCAGGAGUUCUCUAACUUCAUUUUUCUGUGCAGAUUACAACAUUUAAUAUUUCAUUAGUCGUUCAAGGAACAAUUGCCGAGAACAUGGAUUUUGCGAAGGUAAUCACGUGGAGUUUUUUUUUCCAAUAAUAUUUCUUAAAAAACCCUAAUGUGGAACCUAACAUUCGUUAUUUACUAUGGCCACUCGUGCAGGACGAGUCACAUCCAUAUGCUGUCCCAAUGGUUAUGGGUAUUUUCCGCAGAUUGGAAAGCCCUUUGGAUAUAACUACUAGUACUAUUAUAAGGAGGAUAGUUUCUAACCAUGAAGCCUACCAGGUAGCUACCGUACUGUUGUAUCAGAUUGCUGGCUGAAUUUGGUCUCUUAUCAAUAAUGUGAUUUUUUUUGUCUUCUUCUCAAUAAUGUGCACACGUGAGCUGUUUUAUACUGAUGUUGAUAAUGAAUUGAUGCUCUGGUGAAGCCUUCUUAUGUAUAUUAAAUAGUUGUCUCCUGGGACCAAUAUUUCCUGCUAUGUCUUAUGCUCUGCUGUUUGAUGUGGUUCCCAUUUAUGCUGGUCCAUUGAUCUGGUGUGGUUUUUACUCACUUUUUCUGUGGUGUUGCUUUGUGCAGAAGCGGAAUGAAAAGAAGGAAGCCAGUGAGAAGAAGUACUACGAGAGUAAAAACUUCGUCAAUGGAGAGUAGUUUGUGAACAUACAUUUUGAGAUACUAAUACCCCGUCACAAAUGCAACCAACCAUCAGGUGUUCCACAGGUUUAUUGUUUAUGUUAUCUUUGUCGUGUUGAUGAUAUAGGCUUAGGUAGCUUGUGAUGCAACCACGCCUACUGAGAUCCAGACAGUGGUGGUGAUUUAGGUGACGAUGCUGGAGGGGGAAGGUGUUUCCUCCGUCCACUUUCCGUCUCCAUCUUUCCUGGCUAGGGCCCCUGUUUAUAGGCUUCGCUGCCUGCUGUUACCACAAGUUUUAGUUGUGGCCUGUAGUUUCAUAACUGUGGUACAGUAUGAAUGUUAGGUUAAAUAACUAUUUGCUGUUGUUGCUUUAUUUAUGCCUCCCGAUAUAUGCGGGCACCGUAUGCAGUCCUUUUCUAGUACAUUCGGAGAGUCCUCUUCUGAUCUUGAGCUGAAAAAUGGACUAACUGAUAUUGUACGUGUGGGUCGGUGAUAGCAACUGCGUCUGAUGGUACACCUGGAUGAAUGGUUCCAACGUCGGUUGGUGACAUCUCGGUAUCUGAUGGCAUCAUGAUGUGGAUAUGUAGAUCACUGAAUCUUGACAAAAUGGUCGCUAGCACGAACACUGGAAGGCUGCCAAGUUGCUGCGGUUUGCUGGUUCAGCCUGGUGCACGUUCGUCGCCAUGGAUGAAAGGGAUGUGCUACCUGUGAUCUCCAGACAGCACAUCUGGGCAUGCUCUCCUAUGAGCGACCUACACUGUUUCUAGCCAUUGUUUUGCCUCCCUGUUUUGUCUCAGCUCUCAUUUGGAUCUGGAAACUGUUGCUUAGUUUUCUGGGUGGCCAUGGGCAUGCCGCGUGAGUCGAUGAACUGGAGUGUCUGUUUUGUGUGGGAAAUCAUUUCGCUUUCUUCCUGGGAAGAUCUAUCUAUGGACAUGCUGCUAUAUUUGGCCUCACAAACUAAGAUUUGUGCACCUCAUUUGCAUCCGGGAUUGGAGUUUGGUUUCUGAAUAAUGGAGUGGGGUGGCAGUAGUAACAGGCAAAACCAAUUGUGUGGGGCAAGCUGAAGAUCCAGCUGCCGCACGUUCCAGCGACCGCCCCUGACAGAGACUCCCCCAGAGCUGGAGAGAUGGAUGGUCACUUGCAUUGCAUCUGAAUGUAGUACUCCCUCCGUUCCUAAAUACUGAACUCCCUCCAUCCUGAAAUACUUGUCGGAGAAAUGCAUAAAAAUGGAUGUAUCUAGAAUUAAAAUACGUCUAGAUACAUACAUUCCUCCGACAAGUAUUUCCGGACGGAGGGAGUAUAAGUCUUUGUAGGGAUUUCACUAGGUGGACUACAUACGGAGCAAAAUGGAUGAAUCUACACUUAAAAUGUAUCUAUAUACAUCCGUACGUGGUUCAUAGUGAAAUCUCUACAAAGACUUAUAUUUAAGAACGGAGGGAGUAGUAUUUUGUUUCAUCCAUCAUGGCCCCCUGAAAAAUGGAAUCCUCAGUCACUCCAGUUUUGUGUCCCCCCCUUGCAAUUGUGGGUGGAUCUUGUAGGUUGCUAGUAGGCUGGAUGAUCUUUUGAUAGAUACUGGAGAUUUGGAGCCGCUCGAUGAAUCACUGUAUGCUGUGUAGGUUGUUACAUAGGGUGUCUUUUAACGUGAUCAUCAUGCCGCAUCCACUGCUGCGCCCAAGUCUGAUGCCAUGAUGGCUAUGUGCUACCCGUGAGCUCUGUCCAAUCCUUCCGACAUGAUUAGUUUGAUGUACCUCUGUUCGGGUUUGUCCGUGUUUAUUGGUCUUCAACGUAUUUUGUGUCAAAUUUUAACUAUAGAUUUAAUGCAGAUUUGACUAAUAAAAUCUAAGUUGUAUGUCACGAAAGUUAUAUUGUUGGAUUUAUAUUUGAAAAUGGAUUCCAAUUAUACUAUUUUUAUGGUGUAUAAAAUAUAUUUUGGUAGUUAAAUUAAGGACGCGGAUAACUGCCACACAUGUGGUAUACUAGCCAUCCGCCCACAUACCGUGUGUGGCGUGAGCAGGAGGCAGCCCACACGGAUUGUGUGUGGGCGAACAUUAGAAUUGCUCACAUAUGUGGGCGUUACUACUUCGUGCCACACGCCCAAUAAAAUACUACUCAUCUCCAUCCUGAGCGUGUGGCACGAAGCAAAAAUGCCCACACAUCCUGACACAAUUACAUUAGAUACUUUUGCGGGAUGACGAUUUAGUUGCCAUCCGAGAUGACAUAUAUAGUUAUCUGGGAUGGCAAAUGUAGUUAUAAAAGCAUGGCAACUCUAUCUAUUUUAGUUGACUAGUUGCCAUGUCUAAUUUAUGAUAGUUGCCGCAUGUAAUCAAGCCAUAGUUGCUGUGUGUGAUUAACUACUUGUCAUAUAUGGUCAAAUAGUAGUUGUCAUGUGUGUUUAUUUAGUUGUCACGUGUGGUCCAACUAUAGUUGCUAUGUAUGGUUAAUCACAGUUGCCAUGUGUAUUUAUCUGGUUGCCACGUACGCGCAACUGCAAUUGCCGUCUUGCAAUGAAUCAUAGUUACCAUGUGUUUUUACCUAGUUGCCACGUACGCGUACUGCAUUUGCCAUCCAACAACGUACGGGUGUCGAAUGGGCGAAAUCAGUUCGCCCACAAGCGCGUGAACUAGGUGUUGGCUGUGUGGGCAAAAACUAGUUCGCCCACAUAGUGUAGUGUAGGUGCCAAACCACGUGCUGCGGGCAUGUGGGCGAACUCUCCAACGCUCACACACCAGCCCCGUCCUACGUGACACGCGAAUUCUACCUCAAUGUGUCAAGAUUCGUGCAAACUUGACUGGACGGUCAUCCAUGCAUGUGGGUGAGUUGCAAAACUGCCACACGUGUGGGCAAAACUGCCACACGUGUGGCCGUUAGUCUUUCCAUAAAUUAGUGGUCAAAUUUUGACUAAAAAACACUAGGGAGUAAUAAACCUGGAUAGAGGUACUAGCUUUGGCUACUCCAGCGCAGAUCAGUAAAACGGACCUCAUCGUGGACUCGAAUCGGGGUGGAGGUCAUUCAAACGGUUGUAUGGACGCAGCGGUGGCUUUAUUUAUAAAAUAGGAUGAAAGCCUAUUUUGAGGAGGUUAUUCGACCGCAUGCACCAAAUGUUCGCUCCUAGAUUUUUCUCCACGCCGACUACACAAAACAAUCAAAGGUAAAUAGCACAAUUCUAAAGUAAUUGAACGAUAAAUAUUCCAAUUCAACAACAAUAGUAAAAAUAGUACAAACAUAAAAUUUUGAAAAAAAUACUUUCAAGUUUGAAUUCAACUUAGUCAACCACAUGUUCUGAUUGUCCAUAUGAAACGCCCAAAGAAGCCCAACCAGAUCAUUCUGCAUUUGCUCAUGAGUUUCUUGAUGUCCAAUUCAACAACAACAACAACAACAACAACAGUAAUAAUAGUAAUAAUAAUAAUAUAAUUCAAAUAUAACAUUUUAAAAUAAAAUAGUUUUAAGUUUGAAUUCAACUUAGUCGGUCUAUGCUAUGGAAGCUAGAUAGGAUCACCACGUUUUGAAAAUUCAGGCCAUGGCGAACUUCUUCAGCCUCAUCCUCCACAGUCAUUUUGUGCAUGAUCAUGCAAGUUGUCAUCAUCUCUCCAAAUGUCUAUGGAUCUCAUAGUUUAACGGUUUCGCAAACAACUACAAAACCUCAUAGUUUAGCGGUUUCGCGAACAACUACAAAACAUGCUUGGAGCACUCCAAUUACUCCCUUGACAUCCUUUCUAGUAGCCUCUUGUCUUUGGACAAAGUGUCAUUUUUAUUACCCUUGGUUCGAAGAUGGUAUAGAUGAAAGCUGCCCACGGAGGAUAGAUACCAUCACAAAGAUAGCAAUCUAUGUUGUAAUCAUGACAAUUGAUGGUAUAGUUGCACUCAGGAGUGCUAGCACACAACCUGCAAACAAUGGAGACCGCUAUAACAUGUUGUCAUUGUGAGACCCAGACAUGCCAAAGAAAGAGUGCAGAAAUGAAAGAUCAUAUAAUGCAACUUAUUCAAGAAUGAUGGUUCCCUUUUUGCAAUGGAGUUGGUAUUGCCCUUCUUGAGCAUAUGGCAAUUCUCUCAUUUAUCAGAUUUGAGCAUACCUAGAAACCGCACAUGGCAAUUCUUUCAUUUCCAGGUUUGAGCAUACCUAGACACCCUCUCGAUUUUCCAAUUGCCAUGAGCCUUGUUGUGUUUACAUGAGUUAGUUCCCUCAAGUACUCUGGUCCAACAGCUUCACCACUAUAGUAGAAAAUUUGACAAUCACUUUAAGGCAUGUGCUUUCAGACAUCCGAAGGUACUCAUCACAAAUUUGCAGUCGUGCCAUAUGCAAACAUCCUCAUUGCAGCUGUGUACAUGACAUCUAUCAGGAUGAAGUAAUCAUCAUAUGCCUGGACAUAUGUCACCACAUCUGAAGUCGACGGUAGAAAUAGGGCUUGAAUAACUCAUUGGGGCAAAGUAGUCGCCGAUCAAAAUCAUAUGCUCGUGUGCCCUAUUUAGAUUCACGACUCAAUGUCCCUUUAUUGAUCCCUUGUAGUUGAGAAUAUGAUCCUCUGCAUGCACCAUGUCUGCAAGAAUCGCCUUCGACGUUGUUGUUUUAUCCUCAUAUUCCUCCUUCUCAUCCAACGAAGAUGACUCCAUGAACUCAUUGUAGAAGUACUCCUUGUCCAAAUCCAUCAUGUUUUCUUUAAAGUAAACUACGAUAACAUAAAAAAAACCAGGCAAUGUCAUUUGGUUGAACACUUGUCGGGCAUAGUGUUUGCCAUGGACGAUGUUGACAGGAAGCGGAGAAUACCGAGGCUGCAACUAGAUUCGUGUUGGACUCGUGACGUAGUCUAUGGCGGGAAGGCGCCUAGGUGGAGUGGUGGAGGUACAAAAAGGACUGGGAGGCGGCCAGAGUGGUACAAUGGCAGCGUUGGUCGCCGAGGGUGUGGAUACAGAUAAUAGGGGCUAGGGACGGAAUAUUCAGAAAGUGCUCCUGGUGUGGUUUUUGGGUGGACCGGGGGUGUCGGAGUACGAAGUGGCGGACGUCCGGACUCCCCAAAUAUCUCCUUCUUUUGGUGUCGGAUUGUGGGAUUUCAGGCGUUUGGACCGGUUCGGACAAUUUUGGUGCCGUCGUUGGAUGGCAAAAAAUGCUCGUAAUGCGCGGUUCAGACAUUUGCAGGCGAUUAGUGAUUCACAUUGGAGUUCUCCUUAGGUAGCUAGCUACCAUGUCUUGUUCUCAUUUCUUGCUAUAGUUGCCACAUAGGAAUGUAUGCAUAAUUAGGGGAAAUGACUUAAUAAAUGCAUGAACUAGGCUUAAAGCAUCUUCAACAUGACUCUCCAUAUGUCCGUGGAUGUGUCUAGAUAAUGUCCUCGGACAUGCCCACAGGAAUCCCAUUUGUCCCUCAUUUUUUCGAACAAAGGCAUAUGAUUGGUGGGAUGGAAAGAGAGAAGAUAUAAAUGAGAGAGAGAGAGAGAGAGAGAGAGAGCGAGAGCGAGAGCGAGAGAGAGAAUGGUCUGGAUUGAUCCACAUUCGAAGUGGCGGGCUAUCUAGACACCCCAUUUCCUUCCCUCAUAAGGGCUAGGUUAGGGUGCUUGUGGAGGUCCGUACAAAUGGAGAAUUUGGGGACCUUCGUUGGAGAGGUGUUUUUGUGUCCGAUCAUGUCCAUACAAUAUUUGGGCUAUCCAUCCAAAAAUAUGUGGAAGAUUUGGGGACCUCGGUUGGAGAUAUUCUUAUGUGGGGAAAUAGAUAACAAGUUCGAAAUAGGGAUAAGGAGAUAUCUAAGGGAAUGUAUCAAAUUAUUUCUCCAUUUACCUGCGGAUAUCCCCCAUUUUCCUACCAAAAUGGUGGUACCCAGGGGUAUACUUCAUUGCAAACGGAUAUUCUUUUGCUACCGAAUUGAACAUAUACAUCACGUCAGUUCUAGAACCUAGUGCCGAACUAAGUGCACAUGAAUGUUGAAAGCAUUUGCUACUUGUGAGCCGCGAUGGGAUUUCAUCGAAGAGUAGAGGAUGAUGCAAUACAAUAGUGAUAAGUAUUUCCCUCAGUUAAGAACCAAGGUUAUCAAUCCAAUAGAAGAACCGUGUAAGACCUCGUGAACAACAUCUACACACAAAGUAAUAAAUACUUGCAGCCAACGCAAAGAAGGGGUUGUCAAUCCCUCGGCGGUUAAUUACAAGGAUCAAAUCUCGUAGUGAUAGAUAGAUAAACAAAAACACAAAAUAAAAUAACGGUAAAUAAAUUCAAGUAAGGUAUUUUUGGAUUUUAAUAUAUGAUAAAGAUAGACCCGGGGGCCAUAGUUUUCACUAGAGGCUUCUCUCUUGAACAUAGCAUACAAUGGGUAAAAAAUUACUGUUGGACAAUUGUUAGAAAAGCGCAUAGUUAUGACCAUAUUCAAGGCAAUGAUCAUGUAUAUAGACAUCACGUCCGAGACAAGUAGACCAACUCCUGCCUGCAUCUACUACUAUUACUCCACACAUCGACCGCUAUCCAGCAUGCAUCUAGAGUAUUAAGUUCAUAUAGAACGGAGUAACGCCUUAAGCAAGAUGACAUGAUGUAGAUAAAGUAAGCCCAAUUAAUGUGAAUAAACCCCAUCUUUUUAUCCUUAGUGGCAACGAUACAAAUGCGUGCCAUGUCCCUUUCUGUCACUGGGAUUGGGUAACACAAGAUCAAACUCAUCACAAAGCACCUCUCCCAUUGCAUGAUAAAUCGAUCUAGUUGGCCAAACCAAACGAAUAGAUCAGAGAGAAAUACAAAGCUAUAACAAUCAUGCAUAAAAGAGUUCAAAUAAGACUCAGAUAAUAUUCAUGAAUAAUCUGAUCAUAAACCACAAUUCAUCAUAUCCCAACAAACACAUCGCAAAAAAGGAUUACAUCGAGUAGAUCUCCAAGAACAUCAGGAGAACAUUGUAUUGAAGAUCAAAGAGAGAGAAGAAGCCAUAUAGCUACUAGCUAUGCACCUGUAGGUCUGUGGUAAACUACUCACACAUCAUCAAAAGGGCAACAAGGUUGAUGUAGUGGUUCUCCAUGAUCGAUUCCCCCUCCGGCAAAGUACCGAAAAAGGUCUCUAGAUGGGAUCUCUGAAGAACAGAAACUUGUGGCGGCGGAAAAAGUAUUUUGGGUGGCUCCCUGAUGUAUUGAAAAUAUUUGGGAAUUUAUAGAGCUGGAAUUAGGUCAAGAGGUGCCACGAGGGGCCCACAAUCCUGGGGGACGCCCCCCCCCCCGGGUCGCGCCUGGCAGGCUUGUCGCUCCCUCAUGACUUUUCAGGUCUUCUCCCAAAGCUUCUAGGGCCCCUUCUGGUCCAGAAAACAUCGUUAAAAGGUUUCAUAGCAUUUGGACUCUGUUUGGUACUCAUUUUCUGAAAAGCCAAAAACAACAACUAGCACUAGGUUAAUAAGUUAGUGCAAAAUGUAUAUAUAAUUUCAUAUAAUUGCAUAAUAAACAUCCAAGAUUGGUACUAUAAUGGCAUGGAACAAUAAAAAAUAUUAUGGAUACAUUGGAGACAUAUCAACAUCCCCAAGCUUAAUUCCUGCUCGUCCUCGAGUAGGUAAAUGAUAAAAAUAGAAAUUUUGAUGUGGAAUGCUACCUAUCAUAUGCAUCAUGUAAUCUCUUUUGUGGCAUGAAUAUUAAGAUCCGAAUGAUUCAAAGCAAUAGUCUAUAAGUUGACAUAAAGACAUCAAUACUCAGGCAUACCAACAAACAAUCAUGCCUUUCAAAAUAUCAAUACUAAAGAACGCUAUCCCUACAAAAUCAUAUAGCCUUGUCAUGUUCCAUCUUCUUAACACAAAGUAUAAAUCAUGCACUACCCCGGUGUCAGCUACCUAUCAUACUUUUUAACGCGCUUCAACUUUUUCAACCCUCACACAAUACAUGAGCGCAAGCCAUGGAUAUAACACUAUGGGUGGAAUAGAAUACGGUGGUAGUGAUUAAUAUGGAGAAGACAAAAAGGAGAAAGGCUCACAUCGACGAGGCUAAUCAACAGGCUGUGGAGAUGCCCAUCAAUUGAUGUCAAUGCAAGGAGUAGGGAUUGCAUGCAACUGAUGCACUAAGAGCUAUAAGUGUAUGAAAACUCAAAAAGAAAACGAAGUGGGUGUGCAUCCAACUUGCUUGCUCAUGAAGAUCUCAGGCAUUUGAGGAAGCCCAUCAUUGGAAUAUACAAGCCAAGUUCUAUAAUUAAAAAUUCCUACGAGUUAUAUGAAAGUGAAAGCAUAGGAGACUCUCUAUAUGAAAAACAUGGUGCUACUUUGAAGUACAAGUGUGGAAAAGGAUAGUAAUAUUGCCCCUUCUGUCUUUUUCUCUCAAGUUUUUUAUUUUUUUGUCGGUCUCUUUUUUAUGGGUUCUUUUUGGCCCUUUUUUAUUUCCUCACUUGGGACAAUGCUCUAAUAAUGAAUAAUGAUGAUCAUCACACUUCUAUCUACUCAACUCAAAAUUACAACUCAAUAUUAGAACAAAAUAUGACUCUAUAUGAAUGCCUCUGGAGAUGUACCAGGAUGUGCAAUGAUCUAGCAUAAGAUGUAUAAAAAAUGAUGAGCAGUGGCUGAGCCACAAAUACUAUGUCAGCCAUAUGAUCAUGCAAAGCAAUAUAACAAUGAUGAUGUGUAUCAUAAAAAUGGAACGGUGGAAGUUGCAUGUCAAUAUAUCUCGGAAUGGCUACGAAAAUGCCAUAAUAGGUAGGUAUGGUGGUUGUUUUGAGGAAGAUAUAAGGAGGCUUAUGUGUGAUAGAGAGUAUCAUAUCAUGGGGUUUGGAUGCACCAACGGAGUUUGCACCACAUCUUGAGGUGAGAAAGGGCAAUGCACGACACCCAAGAGGCUAGCAAAUGGCGGAAAAGUGAGAGUGCGUAUAAUCCAUGGACUCACAUUAGUCAUAAAGAACUCACAUACUUAUUGCAAAAGUCCAUUAGCCCUCGAAGCAAAGUAUUACUACGCAUGUUCCUAAGGGGGAGGUUGGUAGGAGUUAACCAUCGUGCGCCUCGACCUUCAUGCAAAGGAAGACACUCAAUAAUAAAUCGUGCUCCAACUUCUUAGCAUAACGAGAGACUAUACAUGCAUGCUUCAGGAAUCACAAACCUUAACACCAAUAUUCUUACUAAACCAUAAUGUUUCAAUAGUACCUCCACAUAUUACCAUCUUUAUAUCGCAAAACUAUUGCAAGGAAUCAAACUUAUCAUAUUCAGUGAUCGACAUGAAAGUUUUUAUGAUAUCCCUCUUGAAUACCUAUCGUAUCAGGACCAGAUUCAUAACCCAUGCAAAUUGCCAUUACUAUUUACCAAACUCUCAAAAUAAUGUAAGUGAAGCAUGAGAGUGCAACUAUUUCUUAAAAAUAUAACCACCGUCAUGCUCUAAAAAAUAUAAGUGCGGCACUAGAGCAACUGCCUAGCUCAAAAGAUAUAAGUGAAGCACAUAGAGUAUUCUAACAAAUCUUGAAUAAUGUGUGUCCCUCUCAAAAAGGUGUGUUCAACAAAGAUGAUUGUGGCAAACUAAAAACAAAACAAAGAGAAGACUCAUAUAAUACAUGACGCUCCAAGCAAAACUCAUAUCAUGUGAUGAAUAAAUAUAUAGGUCCAAGUAAUUUAUCGAUGGUUGAUAGACAAAAGAGGGGAUGCCAUCCGGGGCAUCCCAAUCUUAGACGGUUGGGUGUCCUUUAAUAUUACCUUGGGGUUCCUUGGGCAUCCCCAAGCUUAGGCUCUUGCCACUCUCAAUUCCUUUAUCCAUUGCGGUCUCACUCAAAACUUGAAAACUUCAGCAAACAAAACUCAAAAGAAAGAUCCGUUAGUAUAACUAGCAAAUCAUAAAAUUUAGGUACUGUUGUAAACUCAUUCAUAUUUUAUCAUUCGAUAUUACCUACUGUAUUCUAGCUUCAGCAUGACUGAUAUCCCCCGAUACAAUCCAUAAAUUCAUUAAAACAAGGAAACAAUGCAAUGAAAACAAAAUCCAUCAAAAACAGAACAAUUUGUAUUGGUAUGGCUAAGCGCUAUACUUCUGUAACCCCAAAAAUUCUGAAAAAUUAGGACAACAUGGGAAUUUUUUAUCAAUCAUGUGUAUUUUUUUAUAAAUUAUAACGUUCCAGUGAAUCUAAACAAUUCUUCUAUUGGGUGUAAAAGUUUCUGUUUUAUCACAGAAUCAAAUCAACUAUUAACCAAAUCAUCCCAAAGGCUUUACUUGGCAUAAACACUAAUUUAAACACAAAAACACAACCAUAACAGUAGCAUAAUUUUGUGCACACCAAAAAAAAA